AAGCAUUAAAACAAAAGUGCCCCCUGUCAUCACUGGUAGAAUUAUCUGUAAGAAAGUUUUAUGGCAUGGAAAAAGACAUCCUCAGUGGCAGUUUCCACCUAUCCUCAUUGAAAAUAUUAUCUCUAGGGAACUUCCCUAGCAUGGCAGGAGGAAUCCUCGAUAAGAUUUUCCAUCUAUCUUCAUUGGUAAAAUUAUCUCUUACUAAAUGCAAGCCAACGGAAGAAGGAAUCCCCAGUGAUAUUCGGAACCUAUCUCCACUGCAACAAUUAUCUCUACAUGACUGCAAUCUAAUGGAAGGAAAGAUCCUCAAUCAUAUUUGCCAUCUAACAUCCUUGGAAGAAUUACAUCUGGGUUGGAACCAUUUUAGUAGCAUUCCUGCUGGCAUCAGUCGACUUUCCAAUCUAAAAGCCCUUGACUUGAGUCACUGCAAGAACCUUCAACAAAUUCCAGAGCUUCCAUCAAGUCUACGAUUUUUAGAUGCGCACUGUUCGGAUCGUAUUUCAUCAAGCCCCUCGCUUCUACCUAUUCAUUCUAUGGUCAAUUGCUUCAAAUCAGAAAUUGAGGUAUGAUUCUCAUGCCACGUUCCUUUUUCUUUCGUACCCAUUGGAUUUACAUGGUGCUUUUGUGCAGGACUGCGUGGUUAUUCAUCGUUAUUCUUCCUUCUGGGGCAAUGGAAUUGGUAUUGUUAUUCCUAGAAGUAGUGGAAUUCUAGAGUGGAUAACGUAUCGGAAUAUGGGAGGGCAUAAAGUAACAAUAGAGCUCCCUCCGAAUUGGUAUGAAAAUGAUGACUUGUGGGGAUUUGCUUUAUGCUGUGUUUAUGUUGCACCUGCCUGUGAAUCUGAGGAUGAAUCUCAGUAUGAAUCAGGUCUUAUAUCUGAGGAUGACAGUGACCUUGAAGAUGAAGAAGCAAGCUUUUAUUGUGAAUUGACAAUCGAAGGAAAUAAUCAAUCAGAAGACGUGGCUGGUUUCGUUCUUGAUUUUCGCUGUGUUAAGGAUGAUGUAUCAGAUAUGCAGUGGGUGAUAUGUUAUCCCAAGUUAGCUAUUGAGAAAAGUUAUCACACCAAUCAAUGGACACACUUCAAGGCUUCAUUUGGUGGGGCCCAAGUGGCAGAGUGCGGAAUCCGUCUGGUAUACACAAAAGAUUAUGAACAGAAACAUCCAACAAUGGCACAAGGCAGUACUUCUCAUGGGAAUUUUGGUGAGCAUGGAUCAGUAAGAGAAGAUGGCAGUACUUCUCAUGGGAAGUUUGGUGACCAUAGAUUAGUAAGAGAAGCUUUACUACUCUAAAGAUACUAAUAGUAAAGAUCACAAUAAAAGGAAUCCCACAGAACAGAGCCCAGGAGAGGAGUCACGUACACCAUAAAAGAUUCAGAGAAACCCAAGACUGAUCCCAAGCAUUAGGCUCAACCACACUUGCAUCAAUAAUGUUCUCUUCCUGGUAAUUCAUCUUCUUUUCUCUUUCAAAUUCAAAGGUCAGAAAUUUUUUUAUCAUGUUUCUCCUUUUUAUUUGUUUUUUCCCCAAGACAAACAAAAAUUUGUGGCUAUCAUCCAUGGGUGCAAACUUCAAUGGUACACCUCCCAAGUUUGUUUUUCUCUCUCUCCAACCGUCUCUCCCUAGAUUUUUCUGCAUUUUCUUCAAACUCAUAUUUCUAUAUGAAAUUCAAUUACAUUCGAGCAUUUCAAUCUCUGUAGCUAAUGUCUGAAUCAUUUCUAGGGUUUCUUUUUUCUGGAAGUUUGUAAUGUUAUUGAUUUAUGACUUGAUGUUUGGGGAUGUUUUGGGUGGCUUGUUCACUUUUUUAUAGCGAUGAUUUAUGGAACCAGAGUUUCUUAGCAGGAAAUGGAACUCGUGUGUUUUAGAAUAUUGGCGUUAUUUGCUUGUGCCCUGUUUGGUUGCUGAGAAAGAGUGGAAGGAGGAUGGAGAAUUAAAUAAUUUUCAAUCUAAGCAAUGAGAAAUUAGAUUUGGGUAUUUGGGCCAUUGGAGUUAUUUGCUCUUACUCAGUUUGGUUUCCAGGAAACUGCAGGCAAAGCAUGGAAAAUAAAGUAUUUUUAAAUUAAUUACCAGGAAAUGGAAUGUACGUAUUUGUCUCUUUGGAAUAUAAACAUCAGUAUUCACUCUUCAAGAAUGUAUAUGGUUGUUGUUUUGGAAUUUUGAAAUUACUUAGCAUCAGACAAUUUCUAACUUGGGAUUUGGAUUGGGAAUCAUAAGUAAUCAUUAGAGAGUAUAUGAGAAGGAGUUUUAGAGUAAGACAGGGUGAUGCAUGUUGAGGGAUGCGUCUCACCCUGGAGUUCUUUGGAAUAAUUAUAGGAUUUUGUAAGUAACUUUGGACUUAUUAGCAAUGUUCUGGAUUUGUGAAUAAUUUAUAGAAUACAUUGGGUGUUUUUUUUUUUUUUUUUUUUUGAGAGUGAAUAAUGUAUGACUGUACUCUUCUCUAUCUCUGUGGUAUGGCACACGUAUGAUUUGGUGCUUUUUUGCAGGCCUUCAACAGCAGCAAAGCAUCUGGUGGCUUGCAGUACUAAUCUUGCAUUAUAUUCUCUGUUUUGCAAUCAUUUGGUACUGUUUGUCCCAACCAAGGAUAGCUCUGUGCAAGCAGUCUCGACUGUGGAACAAGUAAAACAAAUGGUACCUGCUGAAGCUGAGAGGGCAGAUGAUAAGCUGGUGCGGAAGGUGGUCAACCAAAAGAAUCAGACAGCAAAAACUAAAAAGCCCAUCAAGCCUGCUACUGAAGCAGCCUCAGCACCUGUUUCUGGGAGGGGUGAGAUUGAAGUGACUGAAGAAAAGGAGCAUGAGCAAACAAAGAAGGAAGAGGAGUUGGCCAGGAAGGUAGAGGAAUUGAGAAGUGAAGAAGAAGCAGCCAUGUUGAAGGAGAGAAAGCCAACGUUAAGGAGGCACUGGAAAGGAAACAAGGAACUGCAGAAAAGGCCAAUUUCUCUGUGAGUGCUGCCACCUUUUCAUAAUAAUGGAUGUUAAAAGCAGUCUAACUCUACAUGGCGUUUAUUUUCCCCAGCCAUGGAUUGGAAUCUGCCAGUCUAACUCUCAUAAGAAACAAAAUUUUCCAUCCUCAUAUGGAUUAUUGGAGAAGAUUUUAACAUGGAGUUCACUAGAGAGUUUCUAACACCCACUCAAAAAGGACAUUUUAGAGAACUUAUUGAAAAGUUACAUCAGAGUACAUAAAUUUUUAGAUAUUUUUAAAAAUAUCUGAAAAAUUAAAUUAACUAAAAGUAUUUGAAAAAUAUUUGAUUGAAUUAAUAAAUAACUAGUAUUUGCAUAUGAAAAAAUAGUAAACAUAGUCAAUAAUUUUUUUUUUAAUAAUUAGCACAUAAUAAUCAUAAAUUAAUUUAUGGCAAGACCUCAUAUUUGUUGUGGUGACUGUGUUGUCUUACCAUUCUUCUUUCAUGAUGGGCUUAAAUUUUAAUUUAAAUGUAGUAUAAAUAUAUAAUUAGAUUGAUAUUUCGUCCACUAGAAUUGAUUGGGUCUGAAUUUGAACCCUGGUCUUGAAUUUCUUGGCCCAACCAACGAAAUCAUUGACCAACGGCCCUUAGUUUGGGCUGGGCUUGAUGGUCCUCAGGUUAUGCAGGCUUAAUACUGAUUGGGUUUGGGCUUCCAUGCAGUUGUACUUGGAUUCUAUGUUUCCUAAUAUUAACACUAAAAUUAGGUUUAAUUUAUUAACACUAAAUUAGGUUUCAUUUAUAAUUAAAUAUAAUUAGUUUGAGAAUAACUCCAAUCUUUAGUUAAACCAACUAAGUUUUAUGCAAAGGUUUAUAUUCCUAAUACCAUUGAAAAACUAAAUUUAUGUGGAAGUUUGACUGAUACCAACAUUAAAUUAUUAAGAUAAAUUGAAAAAAAAAAAAUCAUGCUCGUAUGUCCUGUUGUUUGUCAUAAGAAAAUUUCUUUUCAGAUUUUUUUUUUCUUUUAAUACAUCUUUACAUUUUUAAUAACAAUCCAUAGGAUUGUUCCCAAACAUAUAUCAUAUAAAUAUAUCUUUUUUGGAUUUUUAAGAAUGUUGUCAAACAAACUCAUAAUACCAUUCUUUCUUUACAAUUACCAAUCCAUAUGAUGAAUUUAUUCCUUUCAAUAACUGACAUCAUCUAAUAAAAAUUAUAAUUAGGUAUUAUAUUUAAAAAGUGUUUAAUAAAUCAAUUUAAUAACUUAAGUGAUUUAAUAACUUAAUUUAAAUUAUUAAAAUAAUUUGAUGUCACAAUUUAAAGUUAAAAUUGAUUUAAUUAAUUUUUAUUUAAAUUUAAAACUAUGUUUACAAAAAAGGCUUAAAAUUCAUAUCAAUUAAGAAAUUAAGUUAUUAAGUUACUUUAAGUCAUUAAAUUAAUCUACCAAUUAAACACCCUUUAAGAUAUGAUAUAAAGUUCACCUCCUACAUAUCAUGAAAAUUAAAAAUUAAUUACCACAUCAAGAAUCUUUAGUUCCUAAUCGAUUUAAUAUUUAAUCCUUGGUUGUGAAUUUCUUUAUAUAUGUAGAUAUAUUUUUAUAUUGCAAGUGGGCUGCCGACUUUUCAUUUUAUACUAGUUUUGAAAAUAAGAUUGUAGUUUUUAUUUUGUCCAAAUCUAAUUUGGAGGGAGAAUCUUUAGAGGCUAUUUUAUAUUCAAAUAGGAAAAUUUUAAAUUUAAUAGUCCCACCUUAUAAAGGCAAAUAUCUUGGACCCUACAUGGGUGCCUCUUACAUGCAUGCACGAGGACAAAGACUUAUUGAAAGCCUCUCUCAUUCACAUGGAUGCCAUCAUUCAUCGAAGUUGAAACAUGAAACCCACACAAAAUAUUUGGGCAAAAGCAACUUCAAUAUUUUUUUUCAUUACUAUAGCUGAGAAUCUCAAUAUUAUUAAAUAGUAAUAAAAUUAAUUUUAAUAUUUUUUUUCUUAUUUUUUCCUCCUUGUGGUUAUAUUUUCAUCCGGAAAGUAUUAAAUAUUAAAAAAGAAUAAAAUUUAAAAAUUAAUUUUUCAUAUUUAAUUAUAUUGUGAAAAAUAUAAAAUAAAAUAUAAUAUAAUUAAAAUUAGUUAAAAUUUUAUAUUUUUAUAAAAUUAUUUAACUUUUUUAUAAAAAUUUAAAAUAAGUGACAUGAGUUUGAAAUAGUAUACAUAUUGACUUUAAAUUUAAUUUUUAUAUUUUUCAUUUUUCUUUUUAACUAUUCUUCUUUCUUCUCUUUCUCUCAACUUUUCCUUCAAAUUUUCCAAUAACCAAACAUAACCUAUUUGUUUCAUAAAAACUCUUUUACCUUUUUAAAUUUUUAAAAGAGUUGCUUACAUAAUAUGGAGCUAAUAGUAUUACUUGUACCUAUUAAUUUCUUUUAAGAUUAAAUUGUUCUAACUUUGUGUGAUAAAAAGUUUGUAAAGUCCAAUUUUACGAAAGAAAAUAUAUGAUUAGUGACUCCCUUGCAUUUCCUUUGGGAUUCACCCCUUCAUACUUACCGUAAAUAGUUGUACCAAUUAAUCAAACAAAAAACAUAGCAUGUAAAUAGUAAUAUGUUAAAGUUUUCUAUCGUGCCUAAGUUUAAUUAGUUCUACUUAUUUAUAUAUUGAAAUGAAAGUAAGCAUAUAUUUAAGUGGUCCAUCAAAUUUGAAACUAAUCUAUUGUAAUUACAUUCAUGUCUAUAUCAUUUAUAUUGUACAUAACUUGAGUACAUUAAAAAUUGUACAAAAAAUCCAAAUUACAAGGAAGUUUAUAUAAACUCUCUUAGGAUUAGACACUGUUAGUCAUUGCCUUCUAAAAAGCUUUCAUCUCUUUCUCCCUCAAGAGGUUUGUAGUCACUUUACACAAGUGUCAAAACUCAAAAGAGUGAUCUAAUGAAGAUGACGAGGUGAUUGAGAUCCUUUUCAUAAACUGGAGUUUGAUAUGGGAACAUUCAUAUCGAAGGUAAAAAUUUUUAUCAGCAACUAGACUUACUUUUAUCUUUCCUUAUAAUUAAACCCAAUAAUCCUAGGUUGUUAGAGACCACACACCUAUGAUCCAAGGGUUUUCCCAACAAGGAUAUCAAUAAAUCUUUCUACUCUAUUGAUGGCAUCUUGAAUUCUUUCAAAUUAAUCACUUCAUUGUAAUCGUUAUUCACUAAAUCCCAUAAAUCUUGAGAUCUAAACAUGACAUUCAUAUGAAUGCAUCAAUUAUUAUAAUUCUUACUUAUGAAUUUUGAAAGUUGAGAUUCAAUUGAGUUAUUAUUUACCAUCAUUACUUUAACAACCAAAUUGCAAAUUUCUUUAUACUAUUCACAUUCUCUGGCAGCCUUUGACCUUCCCUAAUCUUUAGCCUCUAGCUAAUACCACUUGUUUGAGCUCCCAUAAUUGGGCAGCAUUGACAAUAAUUUACUAAAAUAACAUUUUAUUCUAUCCUACUCUCUCUUUGUCAACAUAAUAAUAAACCUCUAUUUAAAAUAAGUUGAUCAUAUUUGCAUUAUCACUCUAAUUCAUAAUUAGAUUGGGAAACCUAAUUAAUAUCAAAUAAAUAACCAUUCCUAAUAUUUCUCAAAUUUAUAAAAUUCUUCUAAUUUGACUUUAAAUUGAUUUUUUAUUUUGACUAUAUAGCUUAAAAAGGAUAAUUUUUUAAAUAAUUAUCAAUUUCAUAUAAUCUUUAUAAGCAUUUGUGUUCAUAAAUUCCUUAUUAUGAUAUUAGGUUUUAGACAAUUUGACAAUAUGAUGAUGUUUUGGAAUGAAUGUUAAGUGAAUCCGUUUUACUCAAAACCAUUAAAUAAAAAAAAAAGACAGUUACACAAGUAAAAUAGUAGAUUAUUGAAGGCCAGGAGAAAAGAAGAGGAAAAUGAAAUAUUAUAUCCCUAUAAUGAGUUAGGUGGAUAUUUCAUGUGAAAAGUUUAAUGUGCAAGGUUGUUCAUGUCUAUUGAGUUUUGGGUAAUCAUUUUUUCAUGGAAAUUUUUUAUGGAAUCCUAAUCUUAGAAAGCAAUAGGAAAUUUUUUUACCAAGAUUUCUAAGAAAUAACUACAUCAAAGUGUAAGAAAAGUAUCAAACUAGAAUAUCUAAGAAAUUACUACAUCAAAGUGUAAUAGAAACAUCAAAUUAGAAAGUGAAAUAUAAUACAAUUCAACUAUGAAAAUGAAGGACAAAGGAAUAGACUAAUUGCCAAAGGAAAAUAGUCUUUUAGUUUUAAUCAGAAAUUUCUUAUAUCAUAAUUAUGACCUGUAGAGGCCACAUGGGUUGUUGGCCUUGGAGUGACUAAAAGGUACAACUAAAAAACGUCAAACAUUUGGAGAACUAAAAGAAAACAUGGAUAAAAUUUUUUUACCUAGAACAUUUAUAUAGAAAUAUUUUAUUUUUUAUUUUUAAAAAAUUAGUAAAGGUAGUAAAGUUUUUUAAAGAUUAUUUUGCGCCCUAAAAACAAAUCGUAAAGGCUUGUUAAAGAUUAUUUUGGAUAUGUUUCAUGCAUUAAUUUUUUUUAACAUUUCAAAUUUUUAAAUGAUUUUUAAAAGUUAUUACCUUUUAAAAUGUAAAUCUCAUAGAGUAUUUGCAUUAUAUAGGAAUUACUAUCAUUUUUAUUUUUUUUAAAAAAGAGAAAUGUAUUCAAAUAAUACCUUAAUUUUUCAUUUUCUAGUAUAAGGAAAUGAUUAUAUCUCACACAAACCUUGUUCAGAUACAUAUUUCAAAGUGAGAAAAAAAAAAUUCUUUUAGAGAAAAGAAGUCCUUCAAAAAGAAGAAAAAAAAAGGUUUUUCAAAGAAGAGUUAGAAGGAAAAGUGAAUUCAAUCUUAUAAUCAGCUAACAUGAUGUUGUUUGAUUACAUUUUUUAUUUUCUAUUUUUACAAAUAAAAUAUAAUAAUAACUCCUAUAUGAAAUAUAGAACUCUUUCAAACUUACUUUAAAAACAUAAUAAUAUUUAAAAAUUAAGAUAAAUUGUGAUAUUAAAAAAAAAAUUACUUCUUCAAAUUUUAAAAAUUAUGAAAAUAAAUUUUUAAUGACAUAAGAUAAGUCUAUAAAUUUUACAUAAAAGUUAUUAUAUUUUAUAUAGAAACUAUUACUAUUUUCUAUUUGUAAAAAUACAAAAUAAAAAAUAUAUCCAAGCAAGUACUAUGAGAAAUAGUUUCUAACAUUUCUUAUUAAGAAAAUGAGAAUAUUAAGAAGUAUAUUCCUACUACAUUGUUUUUUUUUUUAAUUUGAUAUCAACCCAUUCUAUUAGCUCUUUUGAGAAAUAUAGAAAAAUAACAUUACAUAAUUGCAUAGAACAAGAAUAUUAUUUAAGUUUGAGGCAAGUGUUAAAAAGAUAUUGUAAUUCUGUUACGUUGUUUAACUUCAAUGUCCUAUAUGUAACUGUUAGGAAUUUGAGGCUAAUCCAAACUAUAGUAAUCACCCUAGAGGGAGGGGGGGGGGGGGGGUAAAUAGGGUGAUGAUCUCUUUUUCACAAAUCUAAACUAUGCAAAAAUAAGAGACAAUUAUAUGUAAAUAUAUAAUAAACACAAUUACAUAUAAUUUAAAAAAUUUGGGAAAAAAAAGUGCAAAACCGAAAACUUAUAAUGGGUCGACACUUCCUUGGCCACCUUCCCUCUCCUUAAACCCCUAAACGAAUGAGGGUUCCCCUAUUUUGAAGCUUCCACCAAGCUUCCAAACCCUUUACAAAUGGAUUAAGGUUUCCAAUCCCCCUUUUGNNNNNNNNNNNNNNNNNNNNNNNNNNNNNNNNNNNNNNNNNNNNNNNNNNNNNNNNNNNNNNNNNNNNNNNNNNNNNNNNNNNNNNNNNNNNNNNNNNNNAGAGAGUGCAAACACGAGAGCUUAUAGUGGUUCGACACUUCCUUGCCUACGUCCACUCUCCUCAACCUCCUAACCGAGUGAGGGUUCCACUAUCUUGAAGCUUCAACCAAGCUUCCAAUCUCUUUACAAUUGGAUUAUGGUUCCAAUUCACCCUUUUGGACUUUUGGCUCCAAGCACCCUUUACACUUCUCAAAAGUUAUCCCACUCUUGAACAACCUCUCAAGUGAUACCCCUCACUUGAGAAAAUUCCUCUCAAAGAUAUACAAAGAUUGAUCUCACAAAAAUUGUAGUAAUAGAACUUUAAGCUCAAAUGAUACAAGAGAAACUAGGAUUGAAUGGUGCACUAAAGAUAUGCAAGUUUUGGAAUAAUGGUGCACUCAAAAAUACUCUUCCAAGGCUCAAAUAUAAUCAAGAAAGAUUUGGGAAGGUUUAGCUUAUCAAACAACGAAGUUUGGAGCCUUUUUAUAGAAGAAAAAAGUCAUACUAGCCGUUGGGGGUUUGAUCGGUCGAGCUAAGGGUCGACUGGUUGACUAACCAUUAGGAAAAGUGACUGUUGAGCCUCAACCGGACCUCAACCGGUUGAGGUUCAACCUUGACCGGGAAGAGAAGGCCACUAGGAGAGAGAGAAAGUUUUUGGCCUCCCUCAACCGGUCCUCGACCGGACGAGCACAACCAAUCGACCAGUUGAACCGGUUGAGCCAUUUUUUUGGCUCAACACUCAACAUUUUUCAACUUAAAACCUUUUAACACAAAUUUGAAAAUCAUUUAACACAAGGUUUUAGUUGAAAACAUUAAAUCAUCCAAUUCUUAAGAUAUUUAAAACAAUAUUACUCUUGGAUAAUUUUGGUGCAUAAAUAAAUAAUGAAAUGCAUGAAAGUCCUAGUGCACCAACAACCUUACAAAGAGAUCCUAAGAAGCUUUGGUCUUGAAAAACUCUUCUCUUUGAGGUGGUCUUCUUUUUCAUGAUUUCUCCUUGACUUGAUUUGUCUUUGGAUUGCCACUUUGGAAGUCGUCUUGCCUAAUCACACUUGAAAUAUGAUCAUUAGUUCUAAACCUUGUUUUGUUAUCAUCAAAAUCAAGAUUAACCAAACCUUGGUUUCACAGUAACGACUUGUUCCCAACCAUAUAGAUAUUGUCCGCUUUGGACCCAAAUGGGCCCUCACGGUUUUUAAAACUCGUCUACUUGGUUAAGAGGAACUUCUACAUAUAUAGCGUCAGACUUUCCCCCCUAUCCGAUGUGGGAUGUCACAAACACCCCCCUCCCCCCCUCCAUGUAGACACAACGUCCUCGUUGUGUCCCAUGGGAUUGUAGGGUUAAAUAGACAAACACCCCUUAUGAGGUCAAACAAACCCCAACACCGGGGUCGGGGAUCGACUCUGAUACCAUUUAUCAGAAUCCGUACUCAAUUAUAUAUAUAUUGUCCGCUUUGGACCCAAAAGGGCCCUCACGACUUUAAAACGCGUAUACUUGGUUAAGAGGAGUCUCUACACAUAUAGCACCAAGAACUUUUCCCCCUAUCCAAUAUGGGAUGUCACACUAUAUAUGUGUAACAAUUUUUCUUUAAAAAAAUUAGAGGACUUAAAAUGGGCUCUUGUCAACCUUAUUGAUAUUUGAUGUCAAAGGGAUACAACCAACCACCACAAAUAAUUGAGAGAAAAGAAAGGAAAUAAUAAUAAGAGGUAGGCCCCGGGCUCUUGUGAACCUUAUUGAUAUUUGAUACCAAAGGGAUACAACCAACUCCCACAUUUAAUUAAGAGAAAAGAUUGGGAUAUCCUCACCACCAUGUCUAGAUUGCUUUAGUAGGACCAAGAGAAGUCAUUCAGCAUCCAAAGAUCCUCUUCUUCUUCUUCUUCUUUUAAUUCUAAAUGGAGGGACAAUGUGUUCUUGAGUUUCAAAGGUGAAAAUACUCACAAAAGCUUUACUAAUCAUUUCUACUGUAUAUCUUUACUUGUAAUAAAUGUAUAAGAUAUUUGUAUUAACUGUAUAAAACAUGUACAGACCUGUAUAUCUUGAAUUUAUUAAUAUGUUUUUCUUCAUUUUCUUUGUUUUCCAUACCAAAAUACUAAAAAAAUUAUUUACAUAAUUUUUUCUUUUCACAUUUUCAUAUGUAUACAAGACACUUAUACUAAAUGUACAAGAUAUUUUCAUAUUUUGACUAAUGCCUAUACAAAUAUGCAAAUAUAUUGACAAUAGGCAAACUCAUACUAGUCUUGUAUAGUUAUGACAAAUGUCUUAUACAUUUAGGGUGUGUAUACAAUGUUUUCUAAUUCUUUGUAUAGUUAAUACAAAUGUCAUAUAUAUUUUUGAAAAUGUAAAAAAAAAAAAAAGAAGUUAUAUUUGACAUUUACACAUUAUAUAUAAACAAUAUUUCAAUUUAAUAUGGAAAAUGAAAAAAAUGCAAAUAGAUAUAUGUGAAGGGUAAAAAGAGUAUUUUUGUUCGUAAAAUUUCAUGUACUUAAACAUGAAGUAUGCAUCUUUUCACAGAUGUUGGCCAAAUUAUGAACCUCAAACACAAUUGUUUUAAAGAGAAAUGUGAAGAAAAAGAAUAUGAAUGGUAGUUGUAAGAAAAUUAAAAAAUAAAAUCAUUGACUCUUCACUCUACCAAACUAGGGAUGACAACGAGGCGAGUUUGGGAUGGGGCCUCGUUCCGUUUAACUUUUUUUUUUAAUUACUUAAAAUUUUUUUAAUUAUAUUAAAAUAAAUAUAUUUUAUAAAUAAUUAAAUUAUUAUAUUUUUAUAACUUAUUUUAUUAAAAAAUAUUUUUUUUAUUAUUUAUAUAUUAAAAAUAGUAAAAUUAAAAUUAAAAUUAAUUUAAUUUUAAAAAUUAAUUUUAUAUAUAAUAGGGGUGGAGCAAGAUAAGGCAAUAGCUGAAUCUGUCCUGGGUUUUAAAAAGAUUCCCAAACCUGUCCAAAACUCAUUUAGUUAAAAUUGAAACUCAUCCAAUUACGAGCGGGUAUCCGAAAAAACUUGUCCUAUUGUCAUCCCUAUACCCAACCACACUAUCAUCCAAUGAAUAAAACGAAAAUAACUAAAAUUAAGGAACAACCCAAGAAUCAAUGACUUCCUAGCAAGCCCAUCCAUAUCCCAACACGGACAAAAAUAUUUUAAUUUUUUUGCCUUAAAAAUCACGCAUGAAGCUUCCUAGAAAUUUCAUACUUCUUUGUCAUUAUCUAUAUUUUCUACUUCUUUUUCAUCGUCAAUAUUUGUGUAUAUAUAUAAAAUAAAACUUGCAAGAAAAUACAAAAAUGAUAGAUGGCAAAAUGGUUUUUAUGUUAAGAAGGUUCUAAAUUUUUCACACCUUUACAGUAUAAAAAAAAAAAAAAAAAAAAACUUUUUAAAUACAGAACUAUUUCGGACUUGAAUCAUUUUGAAAUUCAGAGACUUGAAAAGUGUUUGUUGGACUUGAAGGAGUUUGGAGUUAAUCUUGAACUUAGAUAUGUUUAGAAAUCAAAGUGGAUUUGAAGAAGAUUGAAAUCCACGACAUGACAACACUGUAAUAUGAAUAGUGUUUUGUCAAAAAAAAUUACUAUUUACUAUUUACUAGGGCAUAAAAGAAAAAUACAAAAUAAUACUCUAAAAAUGCGAAGGAAAGAUUGUUGGUCGUUGAAUAAGGGGAAAAAAAAGAAGAAAAGUAAAAUGUGAAAAAAAAAAGCUUCAAGAGUGCAAUUAAUAAUUGUGGUAGGCCCUGACUUUUGUCUUGUGAACCCGCCUAUUAUUGAAUGGAAAAGGGAUAUAGCCAACCAAAAUAAUUGAGAGUAAAGAAAGGAACACCUCACCACUAUGCUCCAAAUUGAGAGAAAAACAAAGUCAGCCGGCAUCCAAGGACAUUUUUAUUAAAAAAGUAAAGAAAAGAAAUGGUGCUUUAGCUAUUAUCAUAUCAACUCCUAGGAAAUAAAUGAAAAGAACAAGUAAAUGAAAAGAAACAAAAAAAAAAGUUCUUAGAAUGCAAAAAGAAGAUAUUGGAUAUUGAAUGCCCAAAAGAGAAAAAAAUAAAAUGGUAAGAUGUAAAGAAAAGAGUCAGAAAAGCUUCACAAUUGCAAUUAAUAAUUGAGGUACGACUUGGACUUUUGUGAACCCUCACUGUUAAUGCUAAAGGGUUACAGCUAAGGAAAGGAUAAAUGGGAGAGAAGAACAGGACAUCCUCACCACCAUCGUCUUAGCAUCAAAGACCCUCUUUUUUCUUCUUCCAAAUUCUGUUCUUGUAAUUUUGUUACAAUCCAACCAUGGCUUCCUCUAGCAAUUCUAAGAGACCCUUUUGUUCUUCUUCUUCUUCUAAUUCUAAAUGGAGGUACGAUGUGUUCUUGAGUUUCAGAGGCGAGGAUACCCGCAACAACUUUACUAGUCAUCUCUACAAGGAUUUGGAUAAGGCCAACAUUAAAACCUUUAAAGAUGAUGAAGAACUUCGAAAGGGAGGAGAGAUUGCACCCGAGCUCCUAAAAGCUAUUGAAGAAUCAAGGAUCGCCAUUAUCGUCUUCUCGAAAACCUAUGCUCAUUCCAAGUGGUGCUUGGAUGAACUCGUCAAGAUCAUGGAGUGCCAGAAAGAAAAGGGACAAAUAGUUUAUCCCGUUUUCUAUCACGUACGGCCGUGUGAAGUCAGGAACCAGUAUGGGACUUAUGGAGAAGAAUUUAAGAAACACGAGAGCAAUGCGGACGAGGAGAAGAAGAAGAAAAUAGGGGAGUGGAGGACUGCCUUAAGGAAAGCCGGUGAUUUGAGUGGAUUUAGUCUGCGGGAUAGGUAAUCCCUACUUCACUUUUUCCAUUUCCAAUUUUCUGUCAGUUUAUUUUCAUUCUUGUUAGUAAAUAAAAUAUUUAUGAUUACAUAUAUCAAUCAAAAUCCAGUUUUUAAGUAGUAGACAUUAAUAUGUUUGAUUUCUUGGAAAGUAAUAAGAAGAGUUAAAAAUAAAUAAAAAUAAAAAUUUAAAAAAUUUGAUUUUCUUAUAUUUAAUGUAUUAUUAAAAAAUAUGAAAGAAAAUAAAAAUAUAAUUAAAAUACAUUGUAAAAAUAUAUAUAAUUAGUUUAUAAUUAAAAUAAUCUUAGAAAAUCUAUAGUAGUUGUUCUGGGCUCAUUCAGGCCCAACAGGUAAUCCCUAUUUCACUUUUUCCAUUACCAAUUUUCUGUCGGUUUAUUUUCAUUCUUGUUAAUAAAUAAAAUAUUUAUGAUUACAUUUAUCAAUCAAAAUCCAUUUUUAAGUAGUAGACAUUAAUAUGUUUGAUUUCUUGGAAAGUAAUAAGAAAGAGUAAAAAAAAAAAUUGACUUUCUCACAUUUAAUUUAUUAUUAAAAUUAUAAAAGGAAAUCAAAUAUAAUUAAAAUAUAUCGAAAAAAAAAAUAUUUGCCUACAAUUGGGAUAAUAUUAGAAAAUCUAUAGUAGGUGUUGUGGGCUCAUUCAGGCCCAGGUAAUACUGGUAAAAAAAUAAAAUAAAAUAAUUAUGCCAAAUGCCAAGUUUUGAAUUGUUAAAAAUCUUUAAGAUUCCAAAAUAUUCUUCCUUUCUAAUCAAUCCAUCUCAGCCAUAAUUUCUAUCAAUUAAAUUGUUCAAAUUGGUUAUUUAUAUGCUUUGUAAAUUUGGAGAUAAUCUGAGAUGAUUAUUUAAAAUAUUGUAAUACUACCCUAAAUUUUUUUGGACCCUCUUAUGGGACAAAAAACUUAGUUAUUGCACCCUUAACCUUUUUCAAUUUUAGAGGAAUUUUCUAUUACUAAAAUAAUUUUCUCAUGUUCUCUGUGCACUACAUGAGUUUACAUUUCUUCUUUACUUAAUAUUGUUUGUUCCUCUAUAUUUGCAAGUUGAUUAUUAAAUUUAUUUACCUUUUAAUCUAAUGUUUGUAUCUCGUUUUAUUCUAAUUAUCCCAUGACAUCUGGAUAAUCUCUUCUUAAGACCUUGACAUGACAUAAUGAAAUUUUAUUUAAACAUGCAAUUCAACACAUUUUUAAUUUACAUUCUAUUUGACCUUAAUUUAAUUGCACCGAACUAAAGAUCAUUCUAUAAUUUCCAUUUACUUCAUCUUUGUUUUCUUUGACAAUUGAUUGUAGCUUACUCCAUGUUUUAUUGUACUUUAUAAUGGACAGAUCUGAGGCAGAGUUUAUUGAAGAAAUCAUUGGUGAGAUUCGAAGAUUAAUUCCUAAGUGGGUACAUGUUGGUGAGAAUAUUGUUGGAAUGGAUGAAAAUUUGAAAAAAGUGAAGUUAUUGAUAGAUGCCCAAUCAAAUAAAGUGAGUAUGGUUGGGAUUUAUGGGACUGGUGGGAUUGGUAAAACUACCAUCGCCAAGGUUGUUUACAAUGAUAUGUUAGAUCAAUUUAAAUGUCACAGCUUUCUUGAAAAUGUGAGAGAGAAAUAUGAAGAUAAAGGUGAUUUGCUUCAAUUACAAAAAGAACUUCUUUGUGAUAUCCUAAUGGAGAAAAAUCUGGUGUUAAGGAAUAUUGAUGAAGGAUUUAAAAAGAUAAAGAGUAAGCGUCACUCUGAAAAGGUUCUUAUUGUUCUUGAUGAUGUAGGUUGUGAAGAACAAUUAAAAUUCUUAGCUCCUAAUUCUGAAUGUUUUCAUCCAGGAAGCAUAAUCAUUGUGACCACGAGAAAUAAGCGUUGCCUAGAUGUAUAUGACUCGUAUUCAUCAUAUGAGGCUAAGAGAAUGGCAGACAAGCAAGCUGAGGAACUCUUUUGUUGGAAUGCCUUCAAGCAAGACCAUCCCAUAGAAAAUUUUGUGGGCCUCUCUAAUCGUAUACUGGAUUAUGCUGACGGCCUUCCAUUGGCUCUUGUAGUUUUGGGUUCUUUUCUCUUUCAAAGGCCUAUGGAUGAAUGGGAAAGCACAUUGGAUGAACUCAAAACAAUCCCUCCCGAGAAUAUUCAAAAGGUACUCCAGAUAAGUUAUGAUGGACUAAGUGAUGAACGCAAGAAGUUGUUUCUUUAUAUUGCAUGCUUCUUCAAAGAUGAGGAUGAAAAAAUGGCAACAAGAAUACUAGAAAGUUGCAAAUUACAUCCCGCUAUUGGACUAAGAGUUCUUCAUGAGAGGUGUCUUAUUUCUAUAGAGGACAACACUAUAAGGAUGCAUGACUUGUUACAAGAAAUGGGUUGGGCAAUUGUUUGCAAUGAUCCAGAACGUCCAGGAAAAUGGAGCAGAUUGUGCGAAUUACAGGAUAUUGAAAGUGUAUUAUCACAAAAUGAGGUAAGAGAAAAAUACAUGAACAUACUUGAGAUCUAAAGACAUAAAAGAUUCAACAAGAUUUAUUUUUAUUAUUAUUAUAGUUUGAGUAUAUUAUCUAUAUAAUUUUAGUGAAUCCCUAUGCAUCUUAUACUGCUCAUUCUCAAUCCUUGUUUUCAGUGGACAAAAAACAUUGAGGGGAUUUUCACAAGUCAGUCUCGCCAUACAGGAAAACAUAUACAACUUACUACUGAAGUUUUCAGAAAUAUGAAUCAACUUAGAUUGCUCAAAGUCGAAUUCAAUCAGAUCGUGCAGCUUUCCCAAGACUUUGAAUUGCCUUGUCAUGAUUUAGUAUAUUUUCAUUGGGAUUACUACCCUUUAGAAUAUUUGCCAUCAAAUUUUCAUACAGACAAUCUUGUUGAACUCAACCUCUGGUGUAGCCGCAUAAAACAUCUUUGGGAAGGAAAUAUGGUAUUGCUAUUAUUUAGUUAUAUUUUUGUUGUAGACUAAUUUUAAAGUCUUUUGAAGUUUACUUCUUGACACAAAUUUUCUUCUGUUACAGCCUGCUAAAAAGUUAAAAGUCAUUGAUCUUAGUUAUUCCAUGCAUCUGGUUGACAUUUCAAGCAUCUCAAGUAUGCCAAAUUUGGAGACUCUAACUCUAAAAGGUUGUACAAGGUUCCUUAAGUGUUUCAUCCAUGCUAAAUGUUAUUAUCAGUCAUGAACUAAUUGUUUUCUUGAAUAUAAUAGGGUGCACGAGACUUAAGAGUCUUCCAAGGAACUUUCCUAAGUUGGAAUGCCUUCAAACACUCUCUUGUUGUGGCUGUUCAAACUUAGAGAGUUUUCCGAAGAUCGAGGAAGAAAUGAGAAGUCUAAGAAAGCUUAAUUUAAGUCAAACAGGUAUAAUGGGAUUACCAUCAUCAAUUAGCAAGCUAAAUGGGCUUAAAGAGUUGGACUUAAGUAGUUGCAAAAAGCUUUCGAGUCUUCCGGACAGUAUUUAUAGUUUGAGCUCUCUUCAAACUCUCAAUCUAUUUGCAUGUUCACGACUAGUGGGCUUUCCGGGUAUCAAUAUUGGAAGUCUAAAAGCUCUUAAAUACUUGGAUUUGUCAUGGUGUGAGAACCUUGAGAGUCUUCCGAAUAGUAUUGGUAGUUUGAGCUCUCUUCAAACUCUUUUAUUGAUAGGGUGUUCAAAACUGAAGGGCUUUCCAGAUAUCAAUUUUGGAAGUCUAAAAGCUCUUGAAUCGUUAGAUUUCUCAGGUUGCAGAAACCUUGAGAGUCUUCCCGUGAGCAUUUACAAUGUAAGCUCUCUCAAAACUUUGGGGAUUACAAAUUGUCCAAAACUCGAGGAAAUGUUAGAGAUGAAACUAGGGGUUGAUCCAUGCCCCUGGCCAUUUUCACCUCUAACCUGUCACAUUUCAAAUUCAGCAAUAAUCUGGGAUGAUCACUGGCAUGACUGCUUUUCCUCAUUAGAAGCAUUAGACUCACAGUGCCCCCUGUCAUCACUGGUAGAAUUAUCUGUAAGAAAGUUUUAUGACAUGGAAGAAGACAUCCCCAUUGGCAGUUCCCACCUAACCUCAUUGGAAAUAUUAUCUCUGGGGAACGUCCCUACAGUAGUAGAAGGAAUCCUCUAUGACAUUUUCCAUCUAUCUUCAUUGGUAAAAUUAUCUCUUACUAAAUGCAAGCCAACAGAAGAAGGAAUCCCCCGUGAUAUUCAGAACCUAUCUCCACUGCAACAAUUAUCUCUACAUGACUGCAAUCUAAUGAAAGGAACGAUCCUCGAUCAUAUUUGCCAUCUAACAUCCUUGGAAGAAUUAUAUCUGGGUUGGAACCAUUUUAGUAGCAUUCCUGCUGGCAUCAGUCGACUUUCCAAUCUAAAAGCCCUUGACUUGAGUCACUGCAAGAAGCUUCAACAAAUUCCAGAGCUUCCAUCUAGUCUACGAUUUUUAGAUGCGCACUGUCCGGAUCGUAUUUCAUCAAGCCCCUUGCUUCUACCUAUUCAUUCUAUGGUCAAUUGCUUCAAAUCAAAAAUUGAGGUAUGAUUCUCAUGCCACGUUCCUUUUUCUUUUGUACCCAUUGGAUUUACAUGGUGCUUUCGUGCAGGGGCGCAAGGUUAUUAAUAGGUAUUCUUCCUUCUAUGGCAAUGGGAUUGGUAUUGUUAUUCCUAGUAGUGGAAUUCUAGAGUGGAUAACGUAUCGGAAUAUGGGAAGGCAAGUAACAAUAGAGCUCCCUCCGAAUUGGUAUAAAAAUGAUGACUUGUGGGGAUUUGCUUUAUGCUGUGUUUAUGUUGCACCUGCCUGUAAAUCUGAGGAUGAAUCUCAGUAUGAAUCAGGUCUUAUAUCUGAGGAUGACAGUGACCUUAAAGAUGAAGAAGCAAGCUUUUAUUGUGAAUUGACAAUCGAAGGAAAUAAUCAAUCAGAAGACGUGGGUCAUUUCUUUCUUCAUUCUCGCUGUAUUAAGGAUGAUGUAUCAGAUAUGCAGUGGGUGAUAUGUUAUCCCAAGUUAGCUAUUGAGAAAAGUUAUCACACCAAUCAAUGGACACACUUCAAGGCUUCAUUUGGUGGUGCCCAAGUGGAAGAGUGCGGAAUCCGUCUUGUAUACAGAAAAGAUUAUGAACAGAAGCAUCCAAGAAUGGCACAAGGCAGUACUUCUCAUGGGAAUUUUGGUGAGCAUGGAUCAGUAAGAGAAGAUACUGAUAGUAAAGCUCACAAUAAAAGGAAUCCCACAGAACAGAGCCCAGGAGAGGAGUCACACCAUAAAAGAUCCAGAGAAACCCAAGACUGAUCUCAAGUAUUAGGCUCAACCACACUUGCAUCACUAAUGCUCUCUUUACUGGUAAUUCAUCUUCCUUUCUCUUUCUAAUUCAAAGGUCAGAAUUUUUUUUUUAUCGUGUUUCUCCUUUUUAUUUGUUUUUUUUUUCCCCAAGACAAACAAAACUUUGAGGCUAUCACCCAUGGGCGCAAACUUCAAUGGUACACCUCCCAAGUUUGUUUUUCUCUCUCUCCAACCGUCUCUCCCUAGAUUUUUCUGCAUUUUCUUCAAACUCAUAUUUCCAUAUGAAAUUCAAUUACAUUCGAGCAUUUCAAUCUCUGUAGCUACUGUCUGAAUCAAUUAUAGGGUUUCUUUUUUCUGGAAGUUUGUAAUGUUAUUGAUUUAAGACUUCAUGUUUGGGGAUGUUUUGGGUGGCUUGUUCACUGGUAUUACUUGUGAUAAUUGCAGCUCUGGUGCUUUCAAUGACUGACAAUAGUUGAAACUAUGUUGAAUGCUUGUACUAAGGGAAUGGACUUCAGCUGCUCCAGGGUUAGUGCUAUAACAUCAGUAUUCACUCUUCAAGAAUGUAUAUAGUUGUUGUUUUGGAAUUUUGAAAUUACUUAGCAUCAGACAAUUUCUAACUCGGGAUUUGGAUUGGGAACCAUAAGUUAUCUCACCCUAGUGUUCUUUGGAAUAAUUAUAGGAUUUUGUAAGUAACUUUGGACUUGUUAGCAAUGUUCUGGAUUUGUGAAUAAUUUAUAGAAUACAUUGGGUGUUUUUUUUUUUUGGUCCAUCAAAAACUUCAAGAACUUUGAGGGUGAAUAAUGUAUGACUGUACUCUUCUCUAUCUCUGUGGUCAUAGCACACGUAUGAUUUGGUGCUUUUUUGCAGGCCUUCAACAGCAGCAAAGCAUCUGGUGGCUUGCAGUACUAAUCUUGCAUUAUAUUCUCUGUUUUGCAAUCAUUUGGUACUUUUUGUCCCAACCAAGGAUAGCUCUGUGCAAGCAGUCUCGACUGUGGAACAAGUAAAACAAAUGGUACCUGCUGAAGCUGAGAGUGCAGAUGAUAAACUGGUGCGGAAGGUGGUCAACCAAAAGAAUCAGACAGCAAAAACUAAAAAGCCCAUGAAGCCUGCUACUGAAGCAGUCUCAGCACCUGUUUCUAGGAGGGGUGAGAUUGAAGUGACUGAAGAAAAGGAGCAUCAGCAAACAAAGAAGGAAGAGGAGUUGGCCAGGAAGGUAGAGGAAUUGAGAAGUGAAGAAGAAGCAGCCAUGUUGAAGGAGCAAAGUCUGUUGGAGGAGAGAAAGCCAACGUUAAGGAGGCACUGGAAAGGCAACAAGGAACUGCAGAAAAGGCCAAUUUCUCUGUGAGUGCUGCCACCUUUUCAUGAUACAGCCAUCAUAAUGGAUGUUAAAAGCAGUCUAACUCUACAUACUUCCUUGCAUUAUACUAGUCAUUGAUGGGCUUAAAUUUUAAUUUAAAUGUAGUAUAAAUAUAUAAGUAGAUUGAUUGGGUCUGAAUUUGAACCUGGUUCGAGUCAUACUCCCAUCCAAUCCAAACUUGUGAUUGGGCUUGAAUUUCUUGGCCCAACCAGCGAAAUCAUUGACCAACGGCCCUUAGUUUGGGCUGGGCUUGAUGGUCCUCAGGUUAUGUAGGCUUAAUACUGAUUGGGUUUGGGCUUCCAUGCAGUUGUACUUGGAUUCUAUGUUUCCUAAUAUUAACACUAAAUUAGGUUUAAUUUAUAAUUAAAUAUAAUUAGUUUGAGACUAACUCCAAUCUUUAGUUAAACCAACUAAGUUUUAUGCAAAGGUUUAUAUUCCUAAUACCAUCAGGUAUUAUAGUAAAUACCAUUGAAAAACUAAAUUCAUGUGGAAGUUUCACUAGGUGAUACGACAUUAAAUUAUUAAGAUAAAAUUAAAAAAAGAUCAUGCUCGUAUGUCCCGUUGUUUGUCAUAAGAGAAUUUCUUUCUAGAUUUUUUUUUUUUUGCUCUUUUCAAUUCUAGAUAUUUUAAUAUAUCUUUACUUUUUCAAAAACAAUCCAUAGGAUUGUUCCCAAACAUAUAUCAUAUAAAUAUAUAUUUUUAAGAUUGAUUUUUAAGAAUGUUAUCAAAUAAACUCAUAAUAGCAUUUUUUUCUUUACAAUUACCAAUUCGUAUGAUGAAUUAAUUACUUUCAAUAACCGACAUCAUCUAAUCAAAAUUAUAAUUAAGUAUCAUAUUAAAAGAGUGUUUAAAAAAUCAAAUUUAAUAACUUAAAGUGAUUUAAUAAUUUAAUUUAAAUUAUUAAAAUAACUUGAUGUCACAAUUUAAAGUUAGAAAUGACUUAAUUUAUUUUUAUUUAAAUUUAAAACUAAGUUUACAAAAAAGGUUUAAAAUUCAUAUCAAUUAAGAAAUUAAGUCAUUAAGUUACUUUAAGCCAUUAAAUUGAUCUACCAAUUAAACACCCUUGAAGAUAUUACAUAAAGUUCACCUUCUACAUAUCAUGAAAAUUUAAAAUUAAUUACAACAUCAAGAAUCUUUAGUUCCUAAUCGAUAUCAUAUUUAAUCCUUGGUUGUAAAUUUCUUUACAUAUGUAGAUAUAUUUUUAUAUUGCAAGUGGGUUGCCGACUUUUCAUUUUAUACUAGUUUUGAAAUUAAGAUUGUAGUUUUUAUUUUGUCCAAAUCUAAUUUGGAGGGAGAAUCUUUAGAGGCUAUUUUAUAUUCAAAUAGGAAAAUUUUAAAUUUAAUAGUCCCACCUUAUAAAGGCAAAUAUCUUGGACCCUACAUGGGUGCCUCUUACAUGCAAAAGGACAAAGACUUAUUGAAAGCCUCUCUCAUUCACAUGGAUGCCAUCAUUCAUCAAAGUUGAAACAUGAAACCCACACAAAAGCAAUUUCAAUAUUUUUUUUCAUAACUAUAGCUGAGAAUCUCAAUAUUAUUAAAUAGUGACAAAAUUAAUUUCAAUAUUUUUUUUUCUUAUUUUUUGCUCCUUGUGGUUAUAUUUUCAUCUGGAAAGUAUUAAAUAUAUUAAAAAAGAAAAAAAUUAUAAAAAAAUUUUUUUCCUAGUUAAUUAUACUAUGAAAAAUAUAGAGUAAAAUAAAAUAUAAUUAAAAUUAGUUAAAAAAUUAUAUUUUUAUAAAAUUAUUUGACUUUUUUAUAAAAAUUUAAAAUAAGUGACAUGAGUUUGAAAUAGUAUAUAUAUUGACUUUAAUUCUUUCAAAUUAAUCACUAGGUUGUUAGAGACAUACACCUAUGAUCCAAAGGUUUUCCCAACAAAGAUAUCAAUAAAUCUUUCUACUCCAUUGAUUGCAUCUUGAAUUCUUUCAAAUUAAUCACUUCAUUGUAAUCAUUAUUCACUUCAUUGUGAUUUGUCAGACAACAAUUCAUUUCUGCUUCAUGGUUGGACCUUGAGGUAAGGCUUUAGAGGCAUAAGCCUCAAAAGCCUCUUAAAAUUGGUUCUACACUUCUUGCAUGAUGAAUGCAAGUUCCAAAUUUUGAUGACUUGGUAAUGUUGGAGUAAUUGGGUUGAAAGCAGUCAAACACAAAUAUUUAUUAAAGAAGAUAAAAAUUUGGAAGAAUUAAAAUUUUAUUGUAUUCUACCACUCUUUUUUUUAUUCAAAUAUUACAUAAUCCUUUAUUAACUAAAAAUGACAUAAUUAAAAGUAAAUUAUCAUUUGAUUGCAAUGGAUUUAAUAGAAUAUGGUGGAUAUGCUAAAUUUUUGUCUGAUAAUAAAAUUUGAUUUGAGUGAAUAUAAUUAGAGUAAAAUAGUCUUUUUAACUAUCACUUUUACAAUAAAAAGUGUUUUAUUUAAACAAAUAUUUAAUAAAAUUUUAAAAACAUUUGAUAAAUAAUUAUUAUAAAAACUCUUCCUCGAAAAUACUUCAAAGUUCGUCGGAUGGUAAAUUAUACAUCAAGAUCUUAAUGAUGGUCCAUGCAACCAUCACCAUUGAUUGUUUUUGAAAACACAACUUCAAUUUAAAUAAUAUUUUAAGGUAACUCCUAGUUAUCAUAUUUUACAAGAUAUUUUUUAAAAUUAUUGUUUUUUUUCUUUCAAAAUCCUAAGAGAGAGGUCACCAAUAUCAAAAUAAUGUGACCCAUCUCUAUACUAUUGUCUCCAUUAUUUGGACUAUAUCAUAGUUUCCUUAUUGACAACAUGGUAGCCAUGUUAAAUACCUACAACUUUGAAAACAAGAUCUCAAAACUAUGCCUAUUUGAUUAUAAGGCUUAAUUAUUAUAGUUUAUCAUUUCCUAGCAUAUAUAGUUCUUAGCAUCUAAGUAUUUGUUAUAUAAGAAUUUUUCUCAUUUUUCAAGCUUGCAUUUUGUUUAGAAAUUUUUUGAGUUUUUUACAAUCAUUUUGAAAAUGUCAACUCAUAAUUAUAUACAUUUUAGUUCUAUAAGGACUAAAAUCACUUAACAUCAUGGUAAUACUAUUUAAGGUAAUUUGCUUUGAAUCAGAAUGAACUUAUAUACAACUUACGAUUUAUGGUAAUAAUAGAGAUCGAAUUUAAAAAUACAUAAGUUUUCAAUUAAAUAUUAAUAUAUUUAUGUUUCCUUCUUAUUUUUAAUCCUAAAACACAUUAAAUGUAUGCUCUUGAAUUCCUCCAUGUAAUGCGAUUUGAUAUAAUGAUAAAUCAACAAUUAUGAUUUAAUAAUAUGGUGCUUUGACUUUUGACAUUUAAGUAACACCGUCAAUAAAAGCUCCAUAUCUUUGCUUCAUGGAAGAACGUACAAAUGAUGUGAUUGAAUUACAUUUCAAUUAUGUUUGAUUCUUUGAAAAUACUCAAGAAAAAUAAAUAUUUAAAAAAAUAAUUUUCUCAUAUUUGAUUUUACUAUAAAAAAAAUACAUAAUUAAAAUUAGUAAUAAAUUUAAAUAAUUUUAAAUUACUUAAUCUUUAUAUAAAAAAGUUAAAUUAGUAAAACGAGUUUAAAACAUGAUAUAAAGGUAAUUUAUUGACUUUAAUUUUUUUUUUUUACUUCACUUUUUCUUUCCUUCUCUUUGAUGAGAUCAUCUUAGAUAAAUUGUUAAUUGAUUGCAGCAUAUUCAAUUGAAUUCGAUAGUCUAGGUAUCAUAAAUCAUACAUGUUGUGCACCAUUUACAGUAAAUGAACCGUCACAAACCAUACAUAGAGGAGAUGUUGAUUUCAUUAUAAAUCAUACGAUAAUUACAAAAGAUAUGAUAUUAACUUGCAGUAAAUUGCAACAUCGGCACUCUAAUGCUAGACAAAGUAACUAGACAAAGUAAGUCUAAUUAUUGCUAACUUUCCUCAUCUUUCUUGGGCCUUUUGGGUGCUUUUUGUGCAAAAGAGAAAAAGCUAUAACUAAAUUGCCAAUCCAUCACCGACGUUAUAGACUGAUGAAGAAUACCAAAGGGAGUGUUACGAAAUAAUGAGAAUAAAUAAUAAGAAAAAUAGAAUAAGAACACAUAGAUAUACGUGAAAAACUUUAGAUGGGAAAAAUCAUGAGAAAACGAGAAAAAGAUCCGUUAUGUCAAAAAUUGGUACAAAAUGGGAGAGUUGAAAGCGACUACAACAAAAGUAUAAUCAUCGUAACCCUAAAACUAUACAUCAUUAUUAUAUAUAUAUAUAUAUGUAUAUAUAUAUAUAUGCGAGAGUUGAGAACAACUAUGGGAUGAGGUCUAUCGACUCGAUCCCUUCACUACCCCCACAAAUCUCUCAAAAAAUCUCAUAAUUUUAACUUUACUACAUAUAUUGCAUCGCGAGCUUUUCGAAUUGAAUAAAAAAGAAUUUGGAAUCAUCAAACAGUAACAAAGGGAGUGAGAUCAUAACUUUGGAAGGAUUUUUUUUUUUUUUAAAUGUAGACUUGAAUGGUAAAUACUAAAAUGUGUUUGAGAGUGAUACUUGAAAGUAUUUUUAAUAUUUUUAAUAUUCGAAAAAUAAAAAAUUUUCAAAUAUUAAAAAUAUUUCCUAAAAUCAAUAUCAAAAACCAUUUUACAAAAUCAGUAUCAAACUAUCAAACAUAAUUUGAAUUUAAAUAGAGACAAGAACAACAUUGACUCUUGACUCACCAAACCAGUCCUAGUUCACUUAUUGAAUGAAAAGAAAAUAAUUAAAAAUAAAUAACAGCAUCCAUUCUACCAUGUUAUGAAGAGUAAAAGACAAUGGAGAUUUUAACUUUGUUGCCUUAAAAGUCAUGCCCCCUUUCAUGAGUAUAUAUAAUAAAAUAUAUUCGUUUGCAUCUCUUGAAUGCAAAUAAUUUGAUAAUUUUUUUAUAAUUAAUUUAUGAAGAUAACAAUUUGAUAAUUAGACAAUUAUGUUGAUAUUUUGACAUUAUUAUCAAUUUACCAAAUAAGAUUGUUUUUCACCCAACAAUAAUUUACUUAGAAUAAUAAAUAAAUUAAAUUAGCUAACGUAACCAAAGCAUUUGAUUAAAAAUUGGUUUUCAUUUACAAAGAUAAGUUGAAAAUUAAUUUUAAUUUGAUUUAAUUAGGAAAUUAAUUUUUUGCUUGUUAAGUUUGUUUUAAUUUGUAAAUUCAUGUAAAUAAAAAAAAGGAUAAAAAGAUAAUUUUCAUGUGAAAAUUCAUUUAAUUUGAAAAUAAAUGAUGUAAUGUGUUUCAUUGUCGGUUAGCAUUUUUCUUUUUUUCUUGUUUGUAUAACUUUUUAAAAUGUAAAAGAUAAUAAUAAAAUAAGAAAUAAUCAAUAAAUUAAAAAAAUAAAAUAAAUGAUCUCACUAAAAAUGUUUUUUUACCUUAUGUCAUAUGACUUGGAUUAUUUUUUUUCUCUUUUCAGUAAAACAAACUUUUAAUAUAAAUAAAAAAAUAAAAUAGGACAUAGAGGAAAAUAGCUAAAGAGUAUAAAAAAAAUUCAAAAUAAUGCACUAAAAAUGGAAAGAGAAUAUGGUGAGUAGUUGAAUAAUAAUAAAUAAAAAAAAGUCAAAAAAGCUUCAAUACUCUUUGAAUCCACUGUUAGUGAAUGCCAAAAGGCAUACAUCAUACACGCAACUAGAAAUAAAAUGGUAAAAUAUAAAGAAAAGAGUCAGAAAAAGCACGAAGACUACAAUUAAUAAUCGUGGCAGGACUUCGACUCUCGUGAACCCCCCACUGUCACUCAAUGCUAUAGGGUUACAGGCUUGGAGCCAAUCAAAGAUAAUUGAGACAGAAGAACCAGACAUCCUCAACACCAUCGUCUCAGACUCUCAGCAUUCAAAGACCCCUUUGUAUUUUCUUCUUCCAAAUUCUGUUCUUGUAAUUUUGUUACAAUCCAACCAUGGCUUCCACUAGCAAUCCCAAGAGACCCUCUUCUUCUUCUAAUUCUAAAUGGAGGUACGAUGUGGUCUUGAGUUUCAGAGGCGAGGAUACCCGCAACAACUUUACUAGUCAUCUCUACAAGGCUUUGGAUCAUGCCAACAUUGAAACCUUUAUAGAUGAUGAAGGACUUCCAAGGGGAGAAGAGAUUGCGCCCGAGCUCCUAAAAGCUAUUGAAGGAUCAAGGAUUGCCCUUAUUGUCUUCUCGAAAACCUAUGCUCAUUCCAAGUGGUGCUUGGAUGAACUCGUCAAGAUCAUGGAGUGCGAGAAAGAAAAGGGACAACAGGUUUUUCCUAUUUUCUAUCAUGUAGAGCCGUCUGAAGUCAGGAACCAGACUGGGAUUUAUGGAGAAGCAUUUAACAAUCACGAAAGAAAUGCAGACGAGGAGAAGAAGAAGAAGAAGAUAGAGCAGUGGCGGACUGCCUUAAGGAAAGCUGGUAAUUUGAGUGGAUUUCCUCUGCAGGAUAGGUAAUCCCUACUUCACUUUUUCCAUUCCCAAUUUUCUGUCAGUUUAUUUUCAUUCUUGUUAAUAAAUAAAAUAUUUAUGAUUACAUUUAUCAAUCAAAAUCCAUUUUUAAGUAGUAGACAUUAAUAUGUUCGAUUUCUUGGAAAGUAAUAAGAAAGAGUAAAAAAAAAAAAAAAAAAGAUUUUCUCACAUUUAAUUUAUUAUUAAAAUUAUAAAAGGAAAUCAAAUAUAAUUAAAAUAUAUCAGAAAAAAUUAUAUUUGCCCAGCAGGUGGAAAUGCCAAGUUUUGAAUUGUUAAAAAUCUUUAAGAUUCCAAAAUAUUCUUCCUUUCUAAUCGAUCCAUCUUAGCCAUAAUUUCUAUCAGUUAAAAAAAAUGGUAGUCUGUCAAAUAAAUUGUUAAAAUUGGUUAUUUAUAUGCCUUGUAAAUUUGGAGAUAAUCUGAGAUGAUUAUUUAAAAUAUUGUAAUACUACCCUAAAUUUUUUUGGACCCUCUUAUGGGACAAAAAACUUAGUUAUUGCACCCUUAACCUUUUUCAAUUUUAGAGGAAUUUUCCAUUACUUAAAUAAUUUUCUCUUCUUCUCUGUGCACUACAUGAGUUUACAUUUCUUCUUUACUUAAUAUUGUUUGUUCCUCUAUAUUUGCAAGUUGAUUAUUAAAUUUAUUUACCUUUUAAUCUAAUGUUUGUAUCUCGUUUUAUUCUAAUUAUCCCAUGACUCUUCUUAAGACCUUGUCUUUCACGUUGAAUCAUCUAAUGCUAAACUUAUUCCCUUACUAUUCUACUUUGUGUACUCAUGGGAUUAAUGUAUUGCAAUCAAAAUUAUUUUUUUUAAUCUCUUUUUCUCUUGUAUGUUCUACAUUCCUCUAUACCUCACAAAUAAAAGCAAGUAACCUUACAGCUUGUUUGACAAUAUAUUUGCAACUAAUGUUCAAAAAAUAGUUUUCCCCAACACAAUGUUGAAAAUAAUGAACAAAAUUUUAUUUGAAAAUUCAAAUAUGAAGAACGACUUUCUCGACUUAUUAACUAUGAAGGUGCUAUAAAUUUUUGUACAACAUAACAAUUCUCUAAGUAUUAUCUAUAUUUUCAAUUCUUUAUCACAAUACUCUAUAAGAAAAUACCUAAAAACAUUUCAAAUAUGCUCUUAAAAAUGAACUUGUUUACCAAACAAAUUUUUGAAAAUUAUUUUUAAUAAAAGAAAAAAUUAAAAAUAUAAUCAAGUGACAUGAAAUAUGGGAUGAAAAAUAAUAAGUUCUGUAUAUUAGAUUGACUAUACACACAGUUUAUAUUGGAUAUUACAAGAGAAGAAAUAAGAAACAAGAGACAUAAUAGAAAACUAACUUAUUCAUAAACUAACUUAUUCCUAAAUCAUAAAACUAUCUAUUUACAAAAAUAAAAAACUAAUAUAAUAUGAAAAUAAUUCUCCUAUUCUAUUUACAGCUCAAUUACAACCUAUUUACAGCUCAACACUCCCCCUCAAGCUAAGGAAUAGAUGUCUUCCAUUCCAAGCUUGAAUACAAGAUCGUGAAACAUUGAACUGUUCAGCCCUUUUGUUAGGAUAUCAACUAAUUGAUGUUUUGAUGGAACAUAGGACAUACACACUACUCCUUCCUCCAAUUUUUCUUUGAUAAAAUGCCUAUUAAUCUCAAUAUGUUUUGUCCUAUUGUGUUGUAUAGGGUUAUGAGCAAUAUUGAUAGCUGACUUGUUGUCACAAUAGAGCUUCAUAUGACCAUCCCACUUGAUUCUCAAAUCAUCUAGAAUAAUCUUCAGUCAAAGUAGUUCAUACAACCCUUGAGCAAUGUCCCUAAACUCUGAUUUUGCAGACGACCUUGCUACCACAUUCUGCUUUUUACUUUUCCAUGUUACCAGAUUACCUCGAGGAAAAGUACAAUACCCUAUAGUUGAUCUUCGAUCCACUAGGGAACCUGCAUAGUCAACGUCAGUAUAUGCUUCUAGAGUAAGAGUAUUGUUCUUUUUGAACAAAAUUCCUUUCCCGGGGUUGCCUUUCAAGUAAUGCAGCACCCUGUAAGCAACUUGAAGAUGAGGUUCUCUUGGAUCAUGCAUGAAUUGACUGAUCACGCUCACCGAGUAGGCGAUGUCUGGCAAGUGUGAGCAAGGUAUAUGAGCCUACCAACUAGCCUUUGGUACAUUCUUUUAUCCACCACUGGUUCUUCUUUAGCUUCUCCCAACUUGUGAUUUGGAUCCAUUGGGGUAGAGACUAGUUUACACCCAAUCUUCCUUGUUUCUGUCAAUAAAUUAGUCACAUACUUUUGUUGAUAGAUGAAGAUCUCUUGUGUGGAAUAUGCCACCUCAAUAUUGAGGAAGUGCUUUACUUUCCCUAGUUCCUUUAUCUCAAACUCUGUUGCUAAUCUUUGCUUCACUUCAUGCUUUUCUCUCUCAUCAUUUCCAGUCAUUAUGAUGUCGUCAACAUAGACUAGAAAAGCAAUUACUCCCCCUGUAGCCGAGUGCUUAAUGAAGAGAGUGUGGUCACCUUGGCUUUGCUUGUACCCAUACUCUUUCAUGACUUUUUCAAAUCUCUCAAACCAAGCCCUAGGAGAUUGUUUUAGCCUAUAAAGGGCCUUUUUCAGCCUACACACCUUGUUACCUAUGUUUCCCUCAAAUCUUGGUGGGAUGUUCAUGUAAAUCUCUUCAUCUAAAUCACCAUGAAGAAAUGCAUUCUUAACAUCAUACUAUAGGAGUUGCCAAUUGUAGUGGGUAGCCAAGGACAGUAGGAUUCUUAUAGUAUUCAUUUUUGCAACUGGAGCAAAAGCCUCCUGAUAAUCAACUCCAUAAGUUUGAGUGUACCAUUUGGCUACCAAUCUUGCUUUAUGUCUCUCAAGAGAUCCAUCAGUCUUAUAUUUCAGCGUGAAAAUCCACUUGCAAUUAACAAUGUUUUUCCCUUUCGUCUUUCAACAAUCUCCCAUGUUUUAUUAUUUUCUAAUGCAUUCAUCUCCUCUCUCAUAGCAUCCUUCCAUUCCCUUUUUGUCAAUACCUCAGAAACAGUGUUAGAGAUGAUAGUGGUGUUUAAACUCACAAUGAAAUUCUUGUGGGCUAGUGAUAGGUGCUUAAGAGACACAUAGUGUGAUAGUGGAUAGAGUGGUUAAUUAGUGCAUUAUCCGGUGCCUUUUCUGACAGCAAUGAGAAGGUCUAGGUCUAGGUUGUCUGUUGAGUCAAUGGAAGUUUCACCAAGUUGUGUAUGUAAAGGUGGGUCUAAUCUUACCGUGAUUUCAUUCCUAGGAUUUGAGUUGGAUUCUUGGACCUGCUAUUGUUCUGGAAUGACCUUUUCCCUUUAAUACAUCUUAGGAAACUGUGGAAAAUUACAAGUGACACUGGUUGGAAUAGGGAAUGACACGGGUUUAGUGGUAAAAUUGGGUGACUCAGGUGUGAUUAGUUCGGAUGACUCAAGUUCUUCAUCACCAUGGGUUGAGACAUGAGGAAGGUUAAGAGGUUCAAAGGAGUCACAAGGACUAUCCUCCAUCAUUGAAAUCUCCCCCUAAAUAGAGGACUUGGGAAAAAAGGUUUAUUUUCUGUGAAGGUGACAACUGCAGAGAUGUAAAAUUUUCUGGCUAAGGGAUUGUAACACUUGUAUCCUUUUUGAGUAGAUGAGUAAACCAAGGAAGACACAUUUUAUGGCUCGGGGGUCUAGCUUGUCUCUAUGAUGGUUGUGGACAUGAACAAAUGCAAUGCAUCAAAAUACACUAGGAGUGAGCCCAUAUGAGGUUCUAAAGUGUGGAUAGAAACUCUUAAGUAUCUCUACGGGGCUUUUGUUGUCUAACACUUGUGAGAGAAUUCUAUUUAUCAUGUAUGUGGCAGUAAGAACAGCUUCCCCCCAAUAGGACUUAGGAACAUUCCCUUGAAAGAGUAAGGCUCGGGUUGUGUUGAGUAAAUGCCCAUUUUUUCUCUCGGGUAUCCCAUUUUGUUGGGGUGUGUUAACACAUGAUGAGUCAUGGAGAAUGCCCUGUGAUUGAAAAUUGGGUGACAAAGUAUGGUUAAAGUAAUCUCUAGCAUUGUCUGUCUUAAAACUUUUUAUUUUAACCCCAAAUUGGUUUUGAACCAUUGAGUGGAAAUUAGGUAUAACAAUGCUAACAUCAGAUUUUUGUUUAAGAAGAAAGAUCCAUGUAAUCUGAGUGCAGUCAUCAAUUAAGGAUACAAACCAACGAGCCCCAUAAACAUUAGGUAUAGUCGAAGGACCCCAUAUGUCACUAAGAAUCAAAUGAAAAGGAUGAGAACUUCUUUUAUUGCUAAUAGGAAAAAAUUCACGAGUAUGUUUUGUCAAUUCACAAGUUUUGUAAUGAAACUUAGAAAUAUCUAAUCCUUGAAACAAAUGAGGAAACAUGACCUUUAAAACCCUAAAAGAUGGAUGACCUAGACGUAGGUGAUACAACCAAAUGGUAUCUUUAUUUAAGGAACUCUAAAAAGACACACAAAUUAUUACUAGUUUUCUGAGAUGAUUCAAGGUGAUAAAGACCGCUCAUUUCCUUAGCAAGUCCAAUCCUCCUUCCCGAGCCUUGUUCCUGAAAAACACAAUAAGAAUGGAAAAAAAUAGCAGAACAUUUAAGAUCAUGGGUAAGCUUUUGAAUGGAAACAAGGUUGGCCGACAAUUUUGGUACAUGGAGGACAUUUUUAAGAAUAAGGGUAGGUGUGAUAUAUAUGUCUCUGAAACCUGCAACGGUAACUAAAAAGCCAUUGGCCAUUGCAAUUUUCUUGUUACUUGGGUUUGAGGUAUAGGUAUGGAAAAGUUGAGAUUUGGAGGUCAUAUGGUCUGUGGCACCGAAGUCUAUUAUCCAAUAGUCAUUAUAAACCUUGUGUGAGGCAUUUAUGCAAAAUGAGAGUGAAGGUGUACCUGAAUUUUCCAACAUCUUCCACGAAAAAAAAAACCUGAUCUCUUGGGAAUUAAGGUAGAUCGCGAAACAAAAAAACCAGCAACAAUGAAGGUUGGUAAAAGAACACGUGAAUAAAAAAAAUCUAACUAUGAAGGCCAGAAAAAUGGCGAUGAAGGCCAGAAUGAUGCCCAGGUCUUAAAAACCUACUGCUCUGAUACCAUGACACGAAAUGUGGGAUGAAAAAUAAUAAGUUUUGUAUAUUAGAUUGACUAUAUACAUAGUUUAUAUUGGAUAUUAUAAGAGAAGAAAUAGGAAACAAGAGACAUAAUAGGAAACUAACUUAUUCCUAAAUCAUAAAACUAUCUAUUUACAAAAAUAGGAAACUAACAUAAUAGGAAAAUAAUUCUCCUAUUCUAUUUACAGCUCAAUUACAACCUAUUUAUAGCUCAACAUUAAGUUAUAAAACUAUUUUAUAUUCUAAAGAAAAAAAAAAUCUAUUUUCAAAAACAAUAUCUAUAUAAGCAUUUUUCUUUUAAGUAUGAUUUUAAAAUGUUUUUCCAUGAGUCUAAUUGUUGCUAGGAUUUUGACCAAUAAACAAAUAUGUGUGACUUUCCUCGUCAUUGUAAUUUAUAUUUGGGAAAAAAAUGGGGAUUUCAUCAAAAUAUGAAACUUAUGUAACAAUUAUUAGCAACCUAAAUAUAAAUAAAACUAAAACGGAGAAUUUACUUGUUUAUGGAAUAAAUAGUUGAAAAUUUUAUAAGCAUUGAGGAUGGUCAUAAAUCAUGUUGUAAUUAAUAAAAGCAUUUCUAGGUUAUGGAACUUGGGUGGCAAAUUGGUAGAUUUCUAGCCAAACUAGUAUUUGUCUCUAUAAUAAAAUCUCUUAUCAUAAAGGGUAAUGAUACUUUAGAAAGGUCAACUUCAAAUUGGGCCUUUAGAAGCAAUUAAGAUAUUUACAUUAUUUUAUUGCAUGUAUACUUGACAUGACAUAAUGAAAUUUUAUUUAAACAUGCAAUUCAACACAUUUUUAAUUUACAUUCUAUUUGACCUUAAUUUAAUGGCACCGAACGAAACUAAGAAUCAUUCUAUAAUUUCCAUUUACUUCAUCUUUGUUUUCUUUGACAAUUGAUUGUAGCUCACUGCAUGUUUUAUUGUACUUUAUAAUGGACAGAUUUGAGUCAGAGUUUAUUCAAGAAAUCAUUGGUGAGAUUCGAAGAUUAACUCCUAAGUUGGUACAUGUUGGUGAGAACAUAGUUGGAAUGGAUGAAAAUUUGAAAGAGGUGGAGUUAUUGAUAAACGCCCAAUCAAAUGGAGUGAGCAUGGUUGGGAUUUAUGGGAUUGGUGGGAUUGGUAAAACUACCAUUGCCAAGGUUGUUUACAAUGAUAUGUUAGAUCAAUUUCAACGUCACAGCUUUCUUGAAAAUGUGAGGGAGAAAUCUAAAGAUGAUCAUGGUUUGCUUGAAUUACAAAAAAAACUUCUUUGUGAUAUCCUAAUGGAGAAAAAUCUGAAGUUAAGAAAUAUUAAUGACGGUAUCAAAAUGGUAAAGAGGAAGUGUCGCAUUGAAAAGGUUCUCAUUGUUCUUGAUGAUGUAGAUUGUCAAAAACAAUUAAAAUUCUUAGCUCCUAAUUCUGAAUGUUUUCAUCAAGGAAGCAUAAUCAUCGUGACCACGAGAAAUAAACGUUGCCUAGAUGUACAUAAGUCAUAUUCAUCAUAUGAGGCUAAGGGAUUAGCACACACGCAAGCUAAGGAACUCUUUUGUUGGAAUGCCUUUCAGCAAGACCAUCCCGAGUAUGAGGACCUCUCUAAUUGUAUACUAGAUUAUGCUAAAGGCCUUCCAUUGGCUCUUGUAGUUUUGGGUUCUUUUCUCUAUCAAAGGGAUGUGGAUUACUGGGAAAGCACACUGCAUAAACUAAAAACAAACCCUCUUGAGGAUAUUCAAAAGGUACUCCAGAUAAGUUAUGAUGGACUAGAUAAUAAAUGGAAGGAGUUGUUUCUUGAUAUUGCAUGUUUCUUCAGAAAUGAGGAUAAAAAAGUUGUUACAAGAAUACUAGAAGGUUGCAAAUUCCAUCCUAAGUCUGGACUAACGGUUCUUCAUGAGAGGUGUCUUAUUUCUAUAACAGACGACACCAUAAGGAUGCAUGACUUGUUACAAGAAAUGGGUUGGGCAAUUGUUCGCCAAAAUUUUCCAGAACAUCCUGAAGAAUGGAGCAGAUUGUGGGAAUUACAGGAUAUUAAAAGUGUUUUACCACAAAAUAAGGUAGGAGAAAAAUACAUGAACUUACUUGAGAUCUAAAGACAUAUAAAAGAUUCAACAAGAAUUAUUUUUAUUAUUAUUAUAGUUUUGAGUAUCUUAUCUAUAUAAUUUUAGUGAAUCCCUAUGCAUCUUAUAUUGCUUAUUCUCAAUGCUUGUUUUCAGGGGACAAAAAACAUAGAGGGGAUAUCCAUAAAUCGGUCUUGGGAUAGUAAAAAACGUAUACAACUUACUGCUGAAGCUUUCAGAAAGAUGAAUCGACUUAGAUUGCUCAAAGUUAAAGGCGAUAUGGUGCAGCUUUCCUAAGACUUUGAAUUGCCUUGUCAUGAUUUAGUAUAUUUUCAUUGGGAUAACUACCCUUUGGAAUAUUUGCCAUCAAAUUUUCAUGUAGAAAAUCCUGUUGAACUUAACCUCUGGUACAGCAACAUAGAACAUCUUUGGGAAGGAAACAUGGUAUUGCUAUUAUUUAGUUAUAUUUUUGCUCUAGACUAAUUUUAAAGUCUUUUGAAGUUUACUUAUUGAAACGAAUUUUCUUCUGUUACAGCCUGCUAAAAAGUUAAAAGUCACUGAUCUUAGUUAUUCCAGGCAUCUGGUUGACAUUUCAAACAUCUCAAGUAUGCAAAAUUUGGAGACUCUAAUUCUAAAAGGUUGUACAAGGUUACUUAAGUGUUUCACCCAUGCUUAAUGUUAUUAUUAGUCAUGAACUAACUGUUUUCUUGAAUAUAAUAGGAUGCAAGAGACUUGAGAGUCUUCCAAGGAACUUUCAUAAGCUGGAAUGCCUUCAAACACUCUCUUGUGAUGGCUGUUCAAACUUAAAAGUUUUCCGAAGAUCAAGGAAGAAAUGAGAAGUCUAAGAAAGCUUAAUUUAAGUCAUACAAGUAUAAUGGAAUUAACAUCAUCAAUUAGGCAUCUAAAUGGGCUUGAAGAGUUGGACUUAAGUAAUUGCAAAAACCUUUUGAGUCUUCCGGACAGUAUUGGUAGUUUGAACUCUCUUCAAACUCUCGAUCUAGUUGAGUGUUCAAAACUAGUGGGUUUUACAAAUAUCAAUAUUGGAAGUCUAAAAGCUCUUGAAUAUUUGGAUUUGUCAUGGUGUGAGAACCUUGAGAGUCUUCCAAAUAGUAUUGGUAGUUUGAGCUCUCUUCAAACUCUUUUAUUGAUAGGGUGUUCAAAAUUGAAGGGCUUUCCAGAUAUCAAUUUUGGAAGUCUAAAAGCUCUUGAAUUGUUAGAUUUCUCACACUGCAGAAACCUUGAGAGUCUUCCUGUGAGCAUUUACAAUUUGAGCUCUCUCAAAACUUUGGGGAUUACAAAUUGUCCAAAACUCGAGGAAAUGUUAGAGAUUAAAUUAGGGGUUGAUUGGCCAUUUUCACCUCUAACCUGUCACAUUUCAAAUUCAGCAAUAACCUGGUAUGAUGACUGGCAUGACUGCUUUUCCUCAUUAGAAGCAUUAAACCCACAGUGCCCCCUGUCAUCACUGGUAGAAUUAUCUGUAAGAAAGUUUUAUGGCAUGGAAGAAGACAUCCUCAGUGGCAGUUUCCACCUAUCCUCAUUGCAAAUAUUAUCUCUAGGGAACUUCCCUAGCGUGGCAGAAGGAAUCCUCGAUAAGAUUUUCCAUCUAUCCUCGUUGGUAAAAUUAUCUCUUACUAAAUGCAAGCCAACGGAAGAAGGAAUCCCUGGUGAUAUUUGGAACCUAUCUCCACUGCAACAAUUAUCUCUACGUGACUGCAAUCUAAUGGAAGGAAAGAUCCUCAAUCAUAUUUGCCAUCUAACAUCCUUGGAAGAAUUAUAUCUGGGUUGGAACCAUUUUAGUAGCAUACCUGCUGGCAUCAGUCGACUUUCUAAUCUAAAGGCCCUUGACUUGAGUCAUUGCAAGAACCUUCAACAAAUUCCAGAGCUUCCAUCAAGUCUACGAUUUUUAGAUGCGCACUGUUCGGAUGGUAUUUCAUCAAGCCCCUCGCUUCUACCUAUUCAUUCUAUGGUCAAUUGCUUCAAAUCAGAAAUUGAGGUAUGAUUCUCAUGCCACGUUCCUCUUUCUUUUGUACCCAUUGAAUUUACAUGGUGCUUUUGUGCAGGACCGCAAGGUUAUUAAUCAUUAUUCUUACUUCUGGGGCAAUGGAAUUGGUAUUGUUAUUCCUAGAAGUAGUGGAAUUCUAGAGUGGAUAACAUAUCGGAAUAUGGGAAGGAAUGAAGUAACAGUAGAGCUCCCUCCGAAUUGGUAUAAAAAUGAUGACUUGUGGGGAUUUGCUUUAUGCUGUGUUUAUGUUGCACCUGCCUAUGAAUCUCAGUAUGAAUUAGGUCAUAUAUCUAAGGAUGACGCUGAACUUGAAGAUGAAGGACCAGGGUUCUGUUGUGAUUUGAGUAUCGAAGGAAAUAAUCAAUCAGGAGACGUGGGUUUUUUCCUUCUUUAUUCUUGCUGUGUUAAAUAUGAUGUGUCAGAUAUGCAGUGGGUGAUAUGUUAUCCCAAGUUAGCUAUUGAGGAAAGUUAUCACACCAAUCAAUGGACACACUUCAAGGCUUCAUUUGGUGGUGCCCAAGUGGAAGAGUGCGGAAUCCGUCUUGUAUACACAGAAGAUUAUGAACAGAAGCAUCCAGCAAUGGCACAAGGCAGUACUUCUCAUGGGAAUUUUGGUGAGCAUGGAUCGGUAAGAGAAGAUACUGAUAGUAAGCUCACAAUAAAAGGAAUCCCACAGAACAGAGCCCAAGAGAGGAGUCACACCAUAAAAGAUCCAUAGAAACCCAAGACUGAUCCCAAGUAUUAGGCUCAACCACACUUGCAUCACUAAUGCUAUCUUUACUGGUAAUUCAUCUUCCUUUCUCUUUCUAAUUCAAAGGUCAGAAUUUUUUUUUAUCGUGUUUCUCCUUUUUAUUUGUCUUUUUCCCCAAGACAAACAAAACUUUGAGGCUAUCACCCAUGGGCGCAAACUUCAAUGGUACACCUCCCAAGUUUGUUUUUCUCUCUCUCCAACCGUCUUUCCCUAGAUUUUUCUGCAUUUUCUUCAAACCCAUAUUUCCAUAUGAAAUUCAAUUACAUUCGAGCAUUUCAAUCUCUGUAGCUACUGUCUGAAUCAUUUAUAGGGUUUCUUUUUUCUGGAAGUUUGUAAUGUUAUUGAUUUAAGACUUCAUGUUUGGGGAUGUUUUGGGUGGCUUGUUCACUGGUAUUAAUUGUGAUAAUUGCAGCUCUGGUGCUUUCAAUGACUUUGACAAUAGUCGAAACUAUGUUGAAUGCUUGUACCAAGGGAAUGGACUUCAGUUGCUCUAGGGUUAGUGCUAUAACAUCAGUAUUCACUCUUCAAGAAUGUAUAUAGUUGUUGUUUUGGAAUUUUGAAAUUACUUAGCAUCAGACAAUUUCUAACUCGGGAUUUGGAUUGGGAACCAUAAGUUAUCAUUAGAGAGUGUAUGAGAAGGAAUUUUAGAGUGAGAUGGGUGAUGCAUGUUGAGGGAUGAAAGAGGGAUGUAUCUCACCCUAGAGUUCUUUGGAAUAAUUAUAGGAUUUUGUAAGUAACUUUGGACUUACUUGCAAUGUUCUGGAUUUGUGAAUAAUUUAUAGAAUGCAUUGGGUUUUUUUUUUUUGUUUUUUUUUUUGGUCCAUAAGAAACUAAAAGAACUUUGAGAGUGAAUAAUGUAUGACUGUACUCUUCUCUAUCUCUCUGGUCAUAGCACACGUAUGAUUUGGUACUUUUUUGCAGGCUUCAACAGCAGCAAAGCAUCUGGUGGCUUGCAGUACUAAUCUUACAUUAUAUUCUCUGUUUUGCAAUCAUUUGGUACUUUUUGUCCCAACCAAGGAUAGCUCUGUGCAACAGUCUCGACUGUGGAACAAGUAAAACAAAUGGUACCUGCUGAAGCUGAGAGGGCAGAUAAUAAAUUGGUGCGGAAGGUGGUCAACCAAAAGAAUCAGACAGCAAAAACUAAAAAAGCCGAUGAAGCCUGCUACUGAAGCAGUCUCAGCACCUGUUUCUAGGAGGGGUGAGAUUGAAGUGACUGAAGAAAAGGAGCGUGAGCAAACAAAGAAGGAAGAGGAGUUGGCCAGGAAGGUAGAGGAAUUGAGAAGUGAAGAGGAAGCAGCCAUGUUGAAGGAGAAAAGUCUGUUGGAGGAGAAAGCCAACGUUAAGAAGGCAUUGGAAAGGAAACAAGGAACUGCAGAAAAGGCCAAUUUCUCUGUGAGUGCUGCCACCUUUUCGUGAUACAGCCAUAAUAAUGGAUGUUAAAAGCAGUCUAACUCUACAUGGCGUUUAUUUUCCCCAGCCAUAGAUUGGAAUCUGCCAGUCUGACUCUCAUAAGAAAGAAAAUUUUCCAUCGAUCCUCGUAUGGAUUAUUGGAGAAGAUUUUAACAUGGAGUUCACAAGAGAGUUUCUAACACCCACUUAAAAGGACAUUUUAGAAAACUUAUUGAAAAAUAACAUGAGAGUACAUAAAUUUUUAGAUAUUUUUAAAAAUAUUUGAAAAUUUAAAUUAACUAAAAGUAUUUGAAAAAUAUUUGAUUGAAUUAACAAAUAUCAAGUAUUUGCAUAUGAAAAAAUAAUAAACAUUGUGAAGAAUUUUUUUAUUAAUUAGUGCAUAAUAAUUUUAUUUUCCUUUUAAUCACAAAUUAAUCUAUGGCAAAAUCUCAUAUUUGUUGUAGGGACAAUGUUGUCUUACAUUUUUCUUUCAUGAUGGACUCAAAUUUUAAUUUAAAUGUAGUAUAAAUAUAUAAUUAGAUUGAAAUUUCGUCCACUAAGAUUGAUUGGGUAUGAAUUUGAACCCUCGUUCGGGUCAUACUUCCAUCCAAUCCAAGCUUGUGGUUGGGCUUGAAUUUCUUGGCCCAACCAGUAAUGUCAUUGACCAAUAGCCCUUAGUUUGGGCUGGGCUUGAUGGUCCUCAGGCUAUGCAGACUUAAUACUCAUUGGGUUUGGGAUUCCAUGUAGUUGUAAUUAGAUUCUAUGUUUCCUAAUAUUAACACUAAAUUAGGUUUAAUUUAUAAUUAAAUAUAAUUAGAAGAGGAAAAUGAAAUAUCAUAUCCUUGCAAUGAGUUAUGUGGAUAUUUCAUUUAAAAAGUCUAAUGUGAAAGGUUGUUAUGGGUAGUCGUUUUUUGAUGCAAAUUUUCUAUGGAGUCCUAAUCUUAGAAGGCAAUAGAAAAUUCACAACCAAGAUUUCUUAAAAAUAACUACAUUAAAGUGUAAACAAAAUAUCAAACUAGAAUUUCUUAGAAAUAUCAAACUAGAAAGUGAAAUAUAAUACAAUUCAAGUAUGAAAAUGAAGGACAAAAGAAUAGACCAAAUUUGAAAGACCGUUCAAAGACUCGUUUCUUGUUACAAUCCAAUCAUGACUUCCACUAGUAGAGAUCCUCUUCUUCUUCUUCUUCUUCUAAUUCCAAAUUGAGGGACCAUGCGUUCUUGAGUACCCUCAAAAGCUUUUUUGAUCAUUUAUACUGUAUAACCUUACUUGUAAUAACUGUAUAAGAUAUUUGUGCUAAUUGAUAAGAUAUUUGUGCUAAUUGUAUAAAACAUGUCCUUAUACAUCUUGAAUUUAUAAAUUUAUGAAUUUAUGAAUAACCCAAUAAUCAAUGACUUCUUAAUAAAAUUUUUUUAAUUUUGUUGCCUUAAAAGUCAUGUCCCUCCUUUACAAAGCUUCUUAGAAAUUUCAUAUAUUUUUUUUUGUCAUCAUCUAUAUUUCAUAUUUCUUUUUCGUCUUCAAUAUUUGUGUAUAUAUCUAAAAUAAAACCUAUAAGAAAAUGAAAAAUUUACACUUAAAAAGUGUUUAUUUGAAAUUUAGGCAAUGAACUUAAAGGAGUUUGGAAUUACUCCUCGAAGUUGAUAUGUUUGUUUUAAAAUCAAAGUGGAUUUCAAUUUUCUUUAAAUCCACGUUAUGAUAUUACGGUAAUAUGUAGUGUCUUUAAAACCAUGGCUUCCUCUAGCAAUUCUAAGAGACCCUUUUACUCUUCUUCUUCUUCUAAUUCUAAAUGGAGGUACGAUGUGUUCUUGAGUUUCAGAGGCGAGGAUACCCGCAACAACUUUACUAGUCAUCUCUACAAGGCUUUGGAUCAUGCCAACAUUGAAACCUUCAAAGAUGAUAAAGAACUUCGAAGGGGAGACGAGAUUGCACCCGAGCUCCUAAAAGCUAUUGAAGGAUCAAGGAUUGCCCUUAUUAUCUUCUCGAAAACCUAUGCUCAUUCCAAGUGGUGCUUGGAUGAACUCGUCAAGAUCAUGGAGUGCAAGGAAGAAAAGGGACAAAAGGUUUUUCCUAUUUUCUAUCAUGUAGAGCCGUCUGAAGUCAGGAAACAGACUGGGAUUUAUGGAGAAGCAUUUAACAAUCACGAGAGCAAUGCAGACGAGGAGAAGAAGAAGAAGAUAGAGAAGUGGAGGACUGCCUUAUGGAAAGCCGGUAAUUUGAGUGGAUUUCCUCUGCAGGAUAGGUAAUCCCUACAUCGCUUUUUCCAUUUCCCAUUUUCUGUCAGUUUAUUUUCAUUCUUCUUAAUAAAUAAAAUAUUUAUGAUUACAUAUAUCAAUCAAAAUCCAUUUUUAAGUAGUAGACAUUGAUUAAUAUGUUUGAUUUCUUGGAAAGUAAUAAGAAGAGUUAAAAAAAAAUGAUUUUCUUAUAUUUAAUUUAUUAUUAAAAAUAUGAAAGAAAAUAAAAUAUAAUUUAAAUACAUUGGAAAACUAUAAUAGGAAUAAUAUUAGAUAAUGUAUGAUAGCUGUUGUGGGCUCAUUCAGUCACAGCAGGUGAUAACAGUCAAUAAAAUAAAAUAAUUAUCCCAAAUGCCAAGUUUUGAAUUGUUAAAAAUUCUUAAGAUUCCAAAAUGUUCUUAGUUUCUAAUCAAUCCAUUUCAGCCAUAAUUUCUAUCAAUUUAAAAAGAUGGUAGUUUGUCAAAUAAAUUGUUAAAAUUGCUUAUUUAUAUGCUUUGUAAAUUUGGAGGUAAUCUAGGAUGAUUAUUUAGAAAAUUGUAAUACUGCCUUAAAUUUUUCUAGACCCCUCUUAUGGGACAAAAAACUUAGUUAUUAAACCCUUUACCUUUUUCAAUUUUUGAGGAAUUUUCUAUUACUAAAAUAAUUUUCUCAUAUUCUCUAUGAACUACAUGAGUUUACAUUUCUUCUUUCCUUAAUAUUGUUUCUUCCUUUAUAUUUGCAAGUUGAUAAUCAAAUUUAUUUGCCUUUUAAUCUAUUGUUUGUAUCUCGUUUUAUUCUAAUUUUCCAUGACAUCAAGAUAAUUAAUCUCAUCUUAAGACCUUGUCUUUCACAUUGAAUCAUCUAAUGCUAAAAUUAUUCUCUUGCUAUUCUACUUUGUGUACUCAUGGGAUUGAUAUAUUGCAAUCGAAAUUGCAUUUUUUUUUCUCUUUUUCUCUAGUAUGUUCUACAUUCCUCUAUGCCUCAAUUACAAAUAAAAGCAAGUAACCUUAGAGCUUGUUUGACAGUAUUUUUGAAAAUAAUGUUCAAAAAAUAGUUUUCCCCUAGCCAAUUUUGAAAAUAAUGAACAAAAUUUUACUUGAAAAUUCAAAUAUGAAAAAUGUCUUUCUCGACUUAUUAACUAUGAAGGUACUAUAAAUUUAUGUACAAUUUAACAAUUCUCUAAUUAUUAUCUACAUUUUCAAUUUUUGAUCACAAUACUCUAUAAGAAAAUACCUUAAAACAUCUCAAAUGUGCUCUUAAAGAUGAACUUGUUUACCGAACAAAUUUUUGAAAAUAAUUUUUAGUAAAAAUGAAAAUUAAAUAUAUAUUUAAGUUAUAAAACUAUUUUAUAUUCUAAAGAAAAAAAUCUAUUUUCAAAAACAAUAUCUAUACAAGCAUUUUUCUUUUAAGUAUCAUUUUAAAAUCUUUUUCCAUGACUCUUAUUAUUGCUAGGCUUUUGACCAACAAACAAACAUGUGUCACUUUCCUUGUCAUUCUAAUUUAUAUUUGGGAAAAAAAUGGGGAUUUCAUCAAAAUAUGAAACUUAUGUAGCAAUUAUUAGCAACCUAAAUAUAAAUAGAACUAAAGUGAAAAUUUACUUGUUUACAAAAUAAAUAGUUGAAAGUCUUAUAAGCAUAGAGGAUGGUCAUAAGUCAUGGUGUAAUUAAUAAAAGCAUUGCUAGGUUAUGGAACUUGGGUGACAAAUUGGUAGAUUUCUAGCCAAACUAGUACUGGUCUCUAUAAUAAAAUCUCUUAUCAUAAAGGAUAAUGAUACUUUAGAAAGGUCAACUUCAAUUUGGACCUUUAGAAGCAAUUGAGAUAUUUUCAUUAUUUUAUUGAACAUAUACUUGACAUAACAUAAUGAAAUUUUAUUUAAACAUGCGACUCAACACAUUUUUAAUUUACAUUCUAUUUGACCUUAAUUUAGUUGCAUUGAAUGAAACAAAACACCAUUCUAUUAUUUCCAUUUACUUCAUCUUUGUUUUCUUUGGCAAUUCAUUCUAACUCACUGCAUGUUUUAUUAUACUUUAUAAUGGACAGCCCUGAGUCAGAGUUUAUUGAAGAAAUCAUUGGUGAGAUUCGAAGAUUAAUUCCUAAGUUGGUACAUGUUGGUGAGAACAUAGUUGGAAUGGAUGAAAAUUCGAAAGAAGUGAAGUUAUUGAUAGACUCCCAAUCAAAUAAAGUGAGUAUGGUUGGGAUUUAUGGGACUGGUGGGAUUGGUAAAACUACCAUCGCCAAGGUUGUUUACAAUGGUCUGUUAGAUCAAUUUAAGCGUCACAGCUUUCUUGAAAAUGUGAGAGAGAAAUCUAAAGAUGAUCCUGGUUUGCUUGAAUUACAAAAAAAACUUCUUUAUGAUAUCCUCAUGGAGAAAGAUUCGAAGAUAAGUAAUAUUGGUGAAGGAAUAAAAGAGAUAAAGAGUAAGUGUUGCUUUGAAAAGGUUCUUAUUAUUCUUGAUGAUGUAGAUUGUCUAAGACAGUUAGAAUUCUUAGCUCCUAAUUCUGAAUGUUUUCAUCGAGGAAGCAUAAUCAUCGUGACCACAAGAAAUAAACGUUGCCUAGAUGUACAUAAGUCAUAUUCAUCAUAUGAGGCUAAGGGAUUAGCACAUGAGCAAGCUAAGGAGCUCUUUUGUUGGAAUGCCUUUAAGCAACACCAUCCAAAAGACAAUUAUGUGGACCUCUCUAAUCGUAUACUGGAUUAUGCUAAAGGCCUUCCAUUGGCUCUUGUAGUUUUGGGUUCUUUUCUUUAUAAAAGGGGUGUGGAUGAAUGGGAAAGCACAUUGCAUAAACUAAAAACAACCCCUUUCAAGGAUAUUCAAAAUGUGCUCCAGAUAAGUUAUGAUGGACUAGAUGAUAUAUGCAAGAAGUUGUUCCUUGAUAUUGCGUGCUUCUUCAAAGAUCACAAUAAAGAAUUUGUUACAAGUAUACUAGAAGGUUGUGAUCUCCAUCCCAAGAUUGGACUAAAAGUUCUUGAUGAGAGGUGUCUCAUUUCUAUAUUGGGUGGCACUAUAAGGAUGCAUGACUUGUUACAAGAAAUGGGUUGGGCAACAGAUUGUGGGAAUAUGAGGAUAUUAAAAGUGUCUUUACAAAAAAUAUGGUAAGAGAAAAAUAUAUGAAUAUACUUGAGAUCUAGAUCUAAAGACAAAAGAUUCAACAGUCUUUAUUUUUAUUAUUAUUAUAGUUUGAGUACCUUAUCUAUAUAAUUUUAAUGAAUCCCUAUGCAUCUUAUACUGCUUAUUCUCAAUGCGUGUUUUCAGGGGACAAAAAACAUUGAGGGGAUAUUCAUAAAUUGUACUAAAGCAAAACCUAUACAAUUUACUGCUGAAGCUUUCAAAAAGAUGAAUCGACUUAGAUUACUCAAAGUUGAAGAGGAUAUGGUGCAGCUUUCCCAAGACUUUGAAUUGUCUUGUCAUGAUUUAGUAUAUUUUCAUUGGGUUGCAUACCCUUUAGAAUCUUUGCCAUCAAAUUUUCAUGCUGACAGUCUCGUUGAACUCAACCUCCAGUACAGCAACAUAAAACAUCUUUGGGAAGGAAACAUGGUAUUGCUAUUAUUUAGUUAUACUUUUGCUCUAGACUAAUUUUAAGGUCUUUUGAAGUUUACUUAUUGAAACAAACUAUCUUCUGUUACAGCCUGCUAAAAAGUUAAAAGUCAUUAAUCUUCGGCAUUCCAAGCAUCUGGUUGAUAUUUCAAGCAUCUCAAGUGCGCCAAAUUUGGAGAUUUUAAUUCUAGAAGGUUGUACAAGGUUACUCAAGUGUUUCACCCAUGCCUAAUGUUACUAUUAGUCAUUAACUAACUGUUUUCUUGGAUAUAAUAGGGUGCAUAAGACUUGAGAGUCUUCCAAGGAACCUUCAUACAUUGUGAAGAAUUUCUGAACUCCUUUAUUGAUAUUUUAUCGGUACACACCAUACACAUAUAUAUACACAUAUAUAUACACAAAUGACUGAAUAAGAAAGAAUCAAUCUAGCUUAAUUCUCUCCUAAAAUUAGGAAACUAAAUCAUAAGGAAAUAUCCUAAAUGAUCUCUCAUUUUUUAUUCCUAAAUUAAAGUCCUAACUUUGGCAUUAUUUCAACACUCCCCCUCAAGCUGGAGAAUAUAUAUCAUAUAAUCCCAGCUUGCAAGUUAAGUCUUCGAAGUUAGGCCUAGGUAAAGCUUUGGUGAGGAUGUCUGCGGUUUGGUGCUUGGUAGGAACAUAGUUCAAUUUGACCGUCUCACUAGUCACCUUCUCUGUGAUAAAGUGUCUGUCAAUCUCAACAUGCUUGGUCCUGUCAUGAUGCACGGGGUUCUUUGCUAUGCUUAUAGCUGCCUGAUUAUCACACAUCAUCUGAAUUGGAGAUGAACUCGUUUGUCCCAGUUCACUAAGAACCCUUUUUAUCCAAAUCCCUUCACAGAUUCCCUGUGCAAGAGCUCUGUACUCAGCUUCUGCACUACUUCUGGCUACAACUGAUUGCUUCUUACUCCUCCAGGUAACAAGAUUUCCCCAGACAAAAGAACAAUAUCCGGAAGUGGACCGCCUGUCAAUGAUGUUUCCUGCCCAAUCCGCAUCUGAGUAUACUUCAGUGUCACGGUUCUCUGUCUUUCUGAAGAAUAGGCCUUUCCCUGGUGUCAUUUUUAAAUAUCUAAGAAUCCUGUAGACUGCUUCCAUGUGUUCCUCAGUGGGGCUGUGCAUGAAUUGACUUACAACACUCACUGCAAAGCCAAUAUCUGGCCGAGUGUGUGAGAGAUAAAUCAAGCGCCCGACAAGCCGCUGAUAUCUCCCCCUGUCUACUGGUGUACUUUCUUUCUCGAUACCAAGUUUCUUCUGACUAUCCAUAGGAGUAUCAAUUGGUUUGCAUCCAAGCAUACCGGUCUCCUUAAGAAGAUCGAGUAUGUAUUUUCUUUGAGAGACUACGAUUCCCUUCCUUGAUCUAGCCACUUCCAUACCAAGGAAAUAUUUCAAAUUUCCAAGGUCUUUAACUUCAAACUCUUCUGACAAAUACUUCUUCAAAUUCUGUAACUCCCCCAUAUCAUUCCCAGAUAGAAUAAUAUCAUCGACAUAGACUAUCAAUAUGGCCAAUUUCCCGGCAUGAGACUUCUUGACAAAUAGAGUAUGAUCAGCCUGACCUUGUUUGUAGCCCAGCUUCAGGACUGCUUUUGUGAAUCUAUCAAACCAGGCUCGAGGAGAUUGUUUAAGGCCGUACAAGGAUUUUUGGAGUUUGCAAACCUGAUUCUUUGCCAUACUUUCUUCGAAACCAGGUGGUAUUUCCAUGUAGACUUCCUCUUCUAGGUCCCCAUUUAGAAACGCAUUUUUUAUGUCCAGUUGUUGCAAGCACCAAUCUUGAUUGACAGCCAAUGAGAGAAGGAUCCUGAUAGUGUUCAGUUUUGCAACAGGAGCAAAAGUUUCCUGAUAGUCUAUCCCAUAGGAUUGUGUAAACCCUCUAGCUACCAAACGAGCCUUGAAUCUUUCGAAUGAUCCAUCUGCUUUGUAUUUUAUGGUGAAAAUCCACUUGCACCCCACAGGCCUCUUCCCAACCGGCAAAUCUGUGAUAGUCCACGUCCCAUUCUUCUCAAGUGCAUCAAUCUCAUCUUGUACUGCCUUCUUCCAUUCUGAAAUUUUUAAUGCCUCUUGUAUUGUGUUGGGAACCUGAGUAUCAUCAAGAGAAGUAGCAAAUGCUCUGUAAGAUGGUGAUAAUCCUUCAUACGUAACAUAAUUCCCAAUUGGAUGAUCUGUACAUCUCCUAACACCCUUCCUCAAUGCAAUUGGCAAAGUAGAAUCAUCAAUGCUGGGAAUUAACACCUCUCCAUCCCUAUCCUCACCUAUGUUCUCUUCAGGAAGACUUGAAUUGGAGUCAAUAUAUUGGCCACAUGUUGACUGUGAUCCGUGCUCUAAUUCCUGUCUUUUCCUCCUCCUGAUGUAAACUUGUAAGUUCUCAUUAGCAAGUUGUGGGCUAUAGGUUGAAUAGGCAUGGGAGACUGGAUGGUCACGGGAGAAGGAACAUUUGUGUGCUGGGCUGGCUGAACUGAUGGCGGCAUGGGUGUGGACAACUCAGUGGGCGUGAAUUGGGAAGGAUUUGGUGACUCUGAGUGAAAAGAAGGUACACCCUCAAGAAAAGACUCCCAAACUUGAUGUUCAUUCAUGCUCUCCCCCUGAACAUGAGAUUUGGGAUAGAAGAAGACAUGUUCAAAGAAAGAGACGUCCAUGGUGGUGUAAAAUCUUUUGUUGGUUGGAGAAUAGCAUUUGUACCCUUUUUUGGUUGGAGAAUACCCUAGAAAAAUGCACUUAUUUGCUCGAGGAGCAAAUUUGCUACAAUUUUGAGGAUACACAUGAACGAAUGCUGUGCAACCAAAUACUUUGAGUGGUAAAUCAGAAGAGGCGGCAUGGGUGUGAGGAAACUGUUUUAAGAAAAGUUGACGUGGGGAUUGAAAGGUAAGCACUCUGGAUGGCAUACGGUUAAUCAAAUAGGUAGCUGUGAGAAUAGCUUCCCCCCAGAAAUAGUUUGGAACCUUAGAGGAAAACAUAAGGCACCGGGCAACCUCCAAGAGAUGUCUAUUCUUGUGUUCAGCCACCCCAUUUUGUUGUGGGGUGUCAACGCAAGAACUUAUGUGGAUAAUGCCAUGAUUUUGAAGAUAAGUACUGAGACUACUAGUAAAGUAUUCCUUUGCAUUAUCUGACUUGAGGACUUGUAUUUUGGAAUUGAAUUGAUUUUGAACCAUAAGAUUGAAGGUUUGAAAAAUGUGCCCGACCUCUGACUUUUCUUUCAUAAGGAAAACCCAUGUUACCCGAGUAUGAUCAUCAACGAAUGUCACAAACCAUCGAGUGCCAGAAAUAUUUUUUAUCCGGGAGGGACCCCACACAUCACUAUGUACUAGAGAGAAAACAGUCGAAGGUUUGUAUGGGAUUUGAGGAUAUACUGUUCGAGUAUGCUUUGCAAACUGACAAAUUUCACAGUGAUAAGAUGCUGGAUUUUUAUUGAUAAAUAAUUUGGGAAACAAUUUCGCAAGGUAAACAAAGCUAGGAUGACCAAGGCGAUAGUGUAACAUUAUAAUCUUACUAUCUUUAUUGACCUUAGAAUUUGACACAGAAUUGAAAGACUCUGACAUACUCUGAGACUGUACGCAACUUGCUUGAGAGACUUGGUUUGAGAAUUGGCCACAUGAAAGGAGGUAGAGCCCGGAACACAGUUCAGCACUGCCAAUCAUCUUCCCCGAUUUCAAGUCCUGAAAAACACACAAGUUUGGAUAGAAUUUAGUAACACAUUGGAGAUCACGAGCCAAUUGGCUAAUGGACAAAAGAUUACAAUCCAAGUUUGGAACAUGGAGGACAGAGUCAAGAUAUAAGUCUUUAGUAAGUUUUAUAGAACCUGUCCCGGCAAUUUUUGACUUUGAACCAUCAGCAAUAUGGACGGAUGAAUGACCAUUACUUGGCUUGUAAUUUUGAAGAAUGGCAGCAUCUCCUGUCAUGUGAUCAGAAGCACCUGUGUCUACUAUCCACGGCCUCAUUCCUCCUCGAUUAGCAGUGAAGGCUACACCGGUAGUACUGCCGCUGCCAACUUGGCUUAAUAAUUUCUGUAGCCUCUCCAUCUGCUCUUUGUUGAAUGGACUCGGCUCGGGAACAGAUGUGCUCUCAGAGUUGGCAGCCACGUGUGCUCUGCCAUCUCUGUCAAACCGUGGCUUUGGUUUCCAAUCAGCCGGUUUGCCAUGAAGCUUCCAGCAAGUCUCCUUAUAAUGGCCUGGUUUCUUACAAUAAUCACACCAAGGCCUAUCCCGUUUCUGACGAUCUCCACCACUACUAUUAAAUGACCGAGCAGCAAGGGCAGAGGCAUCCAAUGUUGGGGCAGGUUGCUCUUUUGAUCCCAUCAUCACUUUCUUUCUACUUUCUUCACGCCUAACCUCUGAAAAAGCCUCCCUGAGACUUGGCAGGGGUUUAAUGCCCAUGAUUCGGCCUCUAACAUCAUCCAAUUCCCUGUUUAGUCCUAGGAAGAACUUGAACAGUCUCUUUUGUUCCACAAUUUGCCUGUAUGUUGCUGCAUCAUCCGAACAUUUCCAUGAGUGAGUCUCAAAUAAGUCAAGUUGCUGCCAAUACCUUGUGAGUGUGUUGUAAUACUGAGUAACUGACUGCUCUCCUUGGCGGAAGUCAUGUAGAGCUGAUUCAACCUGAAACAGUUCUGAAGUAUUUUCAGAACUUGAGUAAGUUUCUUUGGCUGCAUCCCAUAUGUCCUUUGCAGUCCCAAACAACAAGAAAUUUUCGCCUAUGUCAUUGUUCAUGGAAUUGAUAAGCCAUGACAUGAUCAUGCUGUUUUCAAUCUUCCACUUCCUAAAACCCGGUUCUGUAGUUUCUGGCAUGACUGCUUCUCCAGUGAGGUACUCAUCCUUUCCUUUACCGCAAAUGAACAGCAACACAGAUUGUGACCACUGUAAAUAGUUAUGGCCAUUUAAUUUGUGUCCUGUGAUGAGAAUAGGAGAGGAAUCAUUGCCACCAAGGUUUGGAAUUUCAGAUCUGCCCCCUGAUUCUGGUGACGUGACGCUGGAUACUUGUGAUGAUGCCAUUCUGUAUUUUGUCAUGGACCGGAAAGGUAGAAGAACACUUCCCAAGGCACGUGCAGGGACUGGAGUUGAGAAAAAAUAGCCGGAGGACGCCGGAAAAUCUUAUCAGAGGGCCCGCGGAAGCAAAAGAACCCCAAAAGAGGCACGUGCAGGGCUCGGAUUGCACAAACAGGUAGGAAGGGUGGCUGGUCGGCGUCAGGCGAGCCUGGAGGAGGAAGCGCGUCGCCGGAAAGUGGCUCACGUGCCCUCACGCGCCGGCGCGUGAGAUGCAGUCGCCGGCCGGAAAAACGCGCGUGGGCGGCGCGUGGAUGGGUUUCUGGUUCCGGUGCUUUGGGACAAAUUGGAGAUCUCCUCCAGGCGCUCCUUGCGGUGUAGAAAAAAAACCGUCGCCGGAAAGUUCGCCGGAAAAUUUUGCCGACGGUGAGUGUUUUCUGACGACGAUUCGACUGAUCGGAAAGCUUUUUCUCCCUUGGCUCUGAGAACAGGGACUGAUGACCGGAAUGAGAGAGAGAGAGAGAGAGAGAGAGAGAGAGAGAGAGAGAGAGAGAGAGAGAGAGAGAGAGAUGAUCGGAUUGAGAUAUGGCCAGAGAGAUUUGGCCGGAAUGAGUGAUGGCCUGAAUAAGAGGUGGCCAGAAGGGAUUAGGGUUUCAGAAAACUGGCUCUGAUACCAUGAAGAAUUUCUGAACUCCUUUAUUGAUAUUUUAUCGGUACACACCAUACACAUAUAUAUACACAAAUGACUGAAUAAGAAAGAAUCAAUCUAGCUUAAUUCUCUCCUAAAAUUAGGAAACUAAAUCAUAAGGAAAUAUCCUAAAUGAUCUCUCCUUUUUUAUUCCUAAAUUAAAGUCCUAACUUUGACAUUAUUUCAACACAUUGGAAUGCCUUCAAACACUCUCUUGUUAUGGUUGUUCGAAGAUGAAGAGUUUUCCGGAAAUCAAGGGUAAUAUGGGAAGUCUAAGAGAACUUGAUUUAAGUGAAACAGAUAUAAUAGAAGUACCAUCAUCAAUCAGGCAUCUACAUGGGCUUAAAACCUUGAAGUUAAGUGAUUGCUUAAACCUUGUGAGUCUUCAGGUCGGUAUUUGUAGUUUGAGCUCUCUUCAAACUCUUUUGAUGGAUGGGAGUUUAGAACUAAAGGCCUUUCUAGAUAUCAAUAUUGGAAGUCUAAAAGCCCUUGAAUGGUUAGAUUUGUCAUAUUGCGAAAACCUUGAGAGUCUUCCGGAUAGUAUUUGUAGUUUGACCUCUCUUCAAACUCUUUUGCUGAAUGGGUGUUCAAAACUGAAAGCCUUUCCAUACAUCAAUAUUGGAAGCCUCAAAGCUCUUGAAUUGUUAGCUUUGUCAUAUUGCGAAAACCUUGAGAGUCUUCCGGACAGUAUUUGUAAUUUGACAUCUCUUCAAACUCUCAUGUUAAAAGAGUGUUCAAAAUUGAAGGGCUUUCCAGAUAUCAAUAUUGGAAGUCUAAAAGCUCUUAAAUUGUUAGAUUUGUCAUAUUGCGAAAACCUGACAGUAUUUGUAGUUUGACCUCUCUUCAAACUCUUUUGCUGAAUGGGUGUUCAAAAUUGAAGGCUUUUCCGGAUAUUAAUAUUGCAAAUCUAAAAGCUCUUGAAUUGUUAGAUUUUUCAUAUUGUGAAAACUUUGGGAGUCUUCCAGAUAGGAUUUGUAGCUUAACCUCUCUUCAAACUCUUUUGUUGAAAAAGUGUUCAAAAUUGAAGGCCUUUCCAGAUAUCAAUAUUGGAAGUCUAAAAGCUCUUAAAUUGUUAGAUUUGUCAUAUUGCGAAAACCUUAAGAGUCUUCCAGACAGUAUUUGUAGUUUGACCUCUCUUCAAACUCUUUUUUUGAAUGGGUGUUCAAAAUUGAAGGCCUUUCCAGAUAUCAAUAUUGGAAGUCUAAAAGCUCUUGAAUUGUUAGAUUUGUCAUAUUGCAAAAACCUUGAGAGUCUUCCGCAUAGUAUUUGUAGUUUGACCUCUCUCCAAACACUUUUGUUGAAUGGGUGUUCAAAACUGAAGGCCUUUCCAGAUAUCAAUAUUGGAAGUCUAAAAGCUCUUAAAUUGUUAGAUUUGUCUUAUUGCAUAUACCUUGAGAGUCUUCCGCACAGUAUUUGUAGUUUGACCUCUCUUCAAACUCUUUUGUUGAAUGGGUGUUCAAAAUUGAAGGCCUUUCCAUGUAUCAAUAUUGGAAGUCUAAAAGCUCUUAAAUUGUUAAAUUUGUCAUAUUGCGAAAACCUUGAGAGUCUUCCGGAUAGUAUUUGUAAUUUGACCUCUCUUCAAACUCUUUUGCUGAAUGGGUGUUCAAAACUGAAGGCCUUUCCAGAUAUCAAUAUUGGAUGUCUAAAAGCCCUUGAAUUGUUAGACUUCUCAUAUUGCAAAAACCUUGAGAGUCUUCCGCACAGUAUUUGUAGUUUGACCUCUCUUCAAACUCUUUUGCUGAAUGGGUGUUCAAAACUAAAGGCUUUUCCAGAUAUCAAUGUUGGAAGUCUAAAAGUUCUAGAAUUGUUAGAUUUGUCAUAUUGCGAAAGCCUUGAGAGUUUUCCGGACAGUAUUUGUAGUUUGACCUCUCUUCAAACUCUUUGGCUGAAUGGGUGUUCAAAACUGAAGGUCUUUCCAGAUGUCAAUAUUGGAAGUCUAAAAGCUCUUGAAUUGUUAGAUUUGUCAUGUUGUAAAAAGCUUGAGAGUCUUCCGAUGAGCAUUUGCAAUUUGAGCUCUCUCAAAACUCUGCGGAUUAAAGAUUGUCCAAAACUCAAGGGAAUAUUAAAGAUGAACCUAGGGGUUGAUUUAUGCUCCUCGAGAUCUUUGAAUCUGACUUGUCACAUUUCAAAUUCAGGAGUAAUCUGGGAUAAUGACUGCUUUUCCUCAUUAAAAGCAUUAAAUCCAUGGUGCCCCCUGUCAUCACUGGUAGAAUUAUCUGUAAGAAACUCUAAUCUCAUGGAACGAGACAUCCUCAGUGCUAGUUUUCGCUUAUCCUCAAUGCAAAUAUUAUCUCUAAGGAACUUCCCUUUGAUGGUAGGAGGAAUCCUUGAUGACAUUUUCCAUCUAUCUUCAUUGGUAGAAUUAUCUCUUAGUGAAUGCAAUCUGAUGGAAGUAGGAACCCUCCAUUAUGUUUGGAACCUAUCUUCACUGCUAAGAUUAUAUCUAAGAAACUGUAAUCUAAUGGAAGGAGAGAUCCCCAAUCAUAUUUGGCACCUAUCAUCAUUG
This 51392-nucleotide long non-coding RNA is filed under the name Vitis vinifera (wine grape). Its description in RNAcentral is "long non-coding RNA (VVIN_LNC006293)". The record is from RNAcentral. Lineage: Eukaryota; Viridiplantae; Streptophyta; Magnoliopsida; Vitales; Vitaceae.